CUGUGAUGCAGUAACUCUGUUUGCUUUUGAAAUUAUCAAUUGUCUGCAAGGAAAAUCAAGUAAGCAUAUUAGAUUUCUGGAUAUUUUCUCUGUAUAUAUAUAUAUAUAUAUAUAUAUUUUUUUUUUUUUUGGUCUAGAUUAAGAUAUGACCUUACUAUGUCGGUAAUCCAUUGUAUAUUUCCUUGUAGACAAUAUUUUUGACUGUCAUGUCUGCAUCGUUGUCGGGUUUUAGUAUAGUAAGACCUUCCGGAGAUGUUACACGUGAAAGCGCUACAUACAGUUGACCGUGGCUAAAAACUGGUUGAGGUAGAUAGAGCAUCACCGAUUUUAAACUCUGUCCCUGGCUUUUAUUGAUUGUCAUUGCAUAGCAUACUCUUAUUGGAAAUUGACGUCUUCUUAGUGUGAAAGGAUGCUUUGAAUCAAGUGGUGAUAAAAUUAUCCUUGGUAGAAUAACUUUUUUCCCAGCAUGUGUGCCUGUUACUAUUUCGGCCUCUAUCAAUCUAUUUCCCAGUCGAGUUAUAAUAAAUCUUGUACCAUUGCACAGACCUUCCUUUUGAUUAAUGUUGCGAAGCAGCAUUAUUGGAACUCCUACUUUCAAAGACAAUAUAUGUUUUGGUAGUCCUGAAAACUCCAAAGAGUUUAAGUAUUCAACCGUAUAUAGAGACUCGUGAUUUGUAGGUAUUGUGUCAGCCUUGCCUAUGCUGUCUGAGCUCAAAUAUUCUUUUGAUAUUCCUUGCUUUUUUUCCAACAUGUAUGCGUUAAUCUCAUCAACCGUCUCAUUUCGUGGAGUUAGAAUAGCUCUCUCGGUAAUACUUGCUUUUGUACUUGCUGAUAGAAUAUUUUCUCUGCUGGUGGCUUCGAAUAUAUCCUGCAAAUGAUUUCCAGAUGAUUGCAUUAAGAAUUUGGGAUUAAACUCGACCAUUUGACCAUCGUCUUCGUUGGCUGCUCUUUCUUCGUUUGUAGGUUCAGCUCCAUCUCCUACACUUAGCAGCCAUUCCGCAAAGCUUUCUUGUGAUUCAUCAAGUCUCAUGUUCUGUUUGAGAUCGAAGACGUUGCAGAAGUCCCACAAGUGUGACUGUUUUAUUGAUGCUAAAACUGCAUCAGCUCUAGAACCUUGUGGAAUUAUCGGUAGCGUUUGCCUGAAGUCUCCACCUAAUAGUACAGUUUUGCCUCCAAAAGGUUGGUCUUUAACUUUUGGAUCUUUAAUGGACAUCAAAUCUCGCAGUGUUCUGUCAAGGGCUUCAAAUGCAUGCCGAUUUGUCAUAGGUGCCUCGUCCCAUAUAAUUAGAUCAGUCUUUUCAAUUAGUUCAGAAAGCAUUGUUCCUGGAAAUAUAUGACAUACUGAAUCUUCAUUGAGAUUCAUGGGUAUCUUAAAGCGGGAAUGUGCUGUCCUUCCUGCAGGUAAAAGCAAUGCUGCGAUGCCAGAGGAAGCAACUGGGAGCACAAUUUUUUUUUCUGAUCGCAACUUAGAAAUAAUGGUGUUGUAAAGGUAUGUCUUCCCUGUUCCACCAGGACCGUAUAGAAAAAAUAGUUUACCCAAACCAUUUUCAACUGACUCCAUAACUGCAUCAUAAACUUUUCUUUGCUGCACAUUUAGACAGCUGAAUCGCUUGCUAUGUUCCUCUUUUUCCUGAUGUACAUUGUAUUGUAACUCUUGGGUUAGCAGCGUGUUACCUAGUUCUUUCAGAACUGUUUGAUCAGGUUUUGGCAUAUCUUUGAACUCAUCUAGUGACCUUUCAUGCUGGUGCAUCACCUUCUCUAUCUCCAUCAAAGUAUAUUGCUUGAUCUCAUAUUCAUUUAGCUGUAGUUUUGGAAAGCCAAAAGUUUUGCGUUUUCUGUUAAGCAUGUCUUCACCUAGUGAUUUCCAACAUCGAUUCCAUAAACUAAGAGGACUGCCUACUUCACAAUAUAUCAGCAGUAAAACAAAUAGUUGCCGUAGCUGAUAAGGUGUACCCCAUCGAAUAGCUUCAUCCAUAGCAUCAUGCCAUUCAAUGUCAGAAUCUAAUAGACCUCUAGCAUAGCAUGCUGAUUUGUAAUCUGGAUAUAUUUUUCCCUCAAAUGUUAGGAUUUCCUCAAAACUUCGUGGUCCUCUUAAUUUGUUGAUGAGUAUCCUUAAAUAAUAUAAUUGUCCUGAAGAUGGAUGAAUGUUGAUUAUUCUUCCUAUCAUUCCUCCUUGUUGUCUCUCACUCCAGAUUUUACUCUCGCUGUUCCAUGUAAAUUUUGUUGGAAAUUCCAAAUAAGUUAGUUGGCGAGCCUCUUCAGAUUCUAUAUUUUUCUCCAUCCAUGCUGUAAACAUUGUUCUCUCAAUAUCUUCUUUUGAUAGAACUUUUCUGAGAUCAUCUUUAGCUCUGUAUCUUAUGUGGUGUUGUCCAGGAAGAUGGAUUAUAAGUUUUUGAACUGCAGGCUUACGUUGAUGAAUGUGGAAGGAAAAAGUCCUCCACGUGGCUUCACAAGCAGAUACAUAUCGGCAUUCAAGGUACUCUUGUAUCUCAUCUCUUGGUCUUUUCGUUGAUACACUAUCUUGUGUGUGUUUUGAAGCCUCGGGACCUUUUUCUAUCACAAUGGUAGCUUUGUCGACUCCUUUUGUAAUGUAUUUGAAAAGAUACUUGACAGCAUUUGUUCUGUUGCACCACUCCACGUUUAUAUGAGCUUGAUAUUUUUUUAAUAUAUAAAAUUAUAAAUAAAAAUACAUAAUUAAAAAUAUUAAAUUACAAGUAAAAUACCACAUUAUCCCAUAAAUUAUUUCUGUAAUGCUGCAUCUUCGGUUGCACAAAAUUUUUUUGAAUAUUAUAGAGAUUUGGAGGUUCCGGAGAAAAUUUACCAGACAAUUAGUGAUGUAGUAAUAUUUAAAUUUGUGUUAUAAAUAUUUCUUCACUAUCUUUUAAAAUAUAAUUUUUAAUUAAGUUUCUUUUGUGAUACUCUUGUUUUCAGUAAAAUAUUACAGUAAUAUUAAUUCAUAAAAUCUUACACUAAAAUAUUUAUAAAUCUUAUUUUAAAAAACAGAUUUAAAAUAUAUGAGAUAUAAAAAUUUUAAUGAUUAAAACGAUAAGCGAAAAAAUGCUUAAUAAUUAUAUAUGUGAUUUAUAAUUAAUUAUAAUGACCAAAAUGCAAAUAAAAAGAUGAAACUUCAAAUAUGCUCUUCAGAACUCUAAAUUUGAAGUUUUGAAGUUUUUUUUGGGAAAACAAAAAACUCUAUAUCUAAAGUUAGCUUGGAAGGGGGUUUUACGUUAAUUACAGUUCGUUUAGAGUUUUUAAUGUUACAUACUUUGGAGGUUUUUAUCCGUUAAAAAUCCCUUAUAUUAAAGAAACUGCUGGUUUAUUUUUUACCUUUACGUAUUGGUGAAAGUGCAUAUGUAUAUAUGUAUGUAUAUAUGCUAAUAGAAAAGUUAGAUAGAGCCUGAAGUAGGAGGAAAAGAAAAGUAAAGGGUUAGGUCAAAAGGAAAGGCUGUGAGUUUUAAAUGUAAUACUAUCAACGGUAACAAAUGUGCGUGUGUGUAUGUAUGUGUUUGUCUUCUUCUUUCUUUGUAAGGUUUUGGCAUUGAACGCAAAACUAAAUUAUUUGUGGUGGUAGGAAUGGUUAAUCGAAAGUGAGAACAUGCCUAUACCUAGCUCUCCCUCUUUUCCUCUCAUCUAAAUUUUCACCUUUUGUCUCCACCUUAGUAACUAUUAUUCUUAUCUAUAAUCUUCUACAAAAUAAACCAUCUUUUCUAGUUGUUUCACUAAAAUAUAUCUUGACCUUUUUGCAUACUACAAAUUAUAAAAUUUGUUCCUGAGCUUAAAAAUGCAUCACAAAAAGAAAAACUUAUCUGUAAACCCUUUGGUCAAAAAAGAGAGAAAAAUAUAGAGGUUCGAUUUAAAUUUACACAUUAGUUCAAUCUUCCUGUACAUUUAAUCCGAAAAGUAGAAUGUCUAUGACCUAACCUAAGUGAAGAUUUUUGGUGGUGGGAGUGGGAAACACACUUCAUUGAACCUUUUGUAACACUAUUUAAAUUUGUGGUCUGUUAGAAGAAUAAUGGACUUCAGUUUUAAUCUUAGUUUCAUUUAGGAUGUAUAUAUGGAUUCUCUUUGUUUUUGGGUCAAGCUUCCAAAGAAGAAAGUGACAAACAACAGAGGACGUAUAACUAGACACUGUAUAUACUGAAUCUCAACAGUAUAGACUUUGGAGGGUUGUGGACAAAAAGGAAAUAGUACUCAUGGAUAGAACAGAGCAUAAUUUUACUAGUGACAAGGGAGUGACACUAACGCUUCUUUUUGGACUCUUCUGCAACAUUUUGGGAGAGGGGAGGGGGGGGAGAGAUUAGUAUCUACUAUAUAUCAACAAAACCAGUAAUGGUCCAAAUGGCUUGUCUUUUCUUUAUGAUGAAUAUAUUUUAUUCAAUUUAGAGACAUUAAUCAAGCCAUUCAAACAAACUUAGACCUCUGUACUGGAAACAUGGCAAACUCUUGCACAGUACAAAAGGAGAUUGUCAUUGACAUUGUCAAACAAAAAAGUUUAUUCCAUGUAUGUUGCAAAAGGGUUUUGAUCAUUAUCAAGUAUAAAAAAAUGAUGUAAUUGUAUGGUUUCAUCCACAUGAAUCCAUAUUACCAUUUUUUUGUAAACAUCUCUUAAAUGGGUUUUAUGAUAUGUCAAAUGAUCAUUUUUCCACAUUGUCCAAUACCUGUAACAACACAAUCAUUAACUUAACCAGUUAAAUCUAAAGCAAGAGAGGUUAUAUGGAGAUUAAGUGUUUAUAUUAACUUAACCAGUUUGAGAUGUCAAAAAAAGGCCAACCGAAACAACAUGUUCAAUUACUUCUAGUCAACCAAAUUAUAGUUCUUUUACAUGCACCCUAAUUGUAGACGACUAUUUUAUCUGCCUGUUAGGCUCUAACGACAAUUUAAUUUUAUGAUUUUAAUAAAAAGAGAAAAUCGUAUCAAUUUACUUCCUCUGUUCCCGAAAGUAAGAUUUUCUAGAGUAUGCACGCUUAUUAAGAAUUUAAUAAAUGUUUAUAAUUUAAUUUAUUUUUACUUUAUUAUAUACUUUCUAAUAAUUUUCCACCAAUGAAAUUUAAUCAAUUCAAAUAUUCUCAAUUAAUGUUAUUCAAAAGUAUAAAAAAAUACUUUAACAAUAUAGAAAAUCUAUUUUUGUGGAACAAGAAAAAAAAAUCUAAAAUUUACUUUCGGAAACGGAGGGAGUACUAUUUUCCUAUAUUUCCAUGAUGUAGCGCAUUGGCAAACGACUGAAAAGAAAACUUAUGCCACAUUUCUUUUUAACUCGGGAGGUUGUUUUAUCAUCUUUAUUAUGGCUAUCAUGCCCAAGAACAAAAGAGGAGAAUUACAAAGACGAGCCUAACAAGCCCAACCAAACAUUAAAAACAAAGCAAAUUACAAGGGUAGUCCAACAGGAAGGCUCAGCCGGAGGAAAUCGUAGAGAAGAACCAGCUAAUGAUCCAGGUCGGCACCACGUGUUCGGACGAAAACGUAGAGGAAAUACGAGAUGAGAGAGCAAAUCAUCGCCUCCCAACACCGACUGGAAAGGUGUCGUCAAGUCUACGCGGCAGCCACUGGGAACACACCGGGACAUGAUGUACUGUGUAAACCCAAAUAGCAACGAGGCAAGCAGAAAAUUGGGGCAAGAAACGCCAUUGCUUCAUGUAUGAAAGAGAUUCAGCCGCAUGCAAUCGAUCAAAAUCAUCAUAUAUUCCUAAUCAACAGCGGAUCAUCUUAAAUGAUACUCCCUCCAUUUUAUUUUGAGUGUCGUUUUAGAUUUAUGCACACAGAUUAAAAACACAUUUAAUUUUAUACAUUUUCAGUAUAAAAACAUCAUUACCAAUAUACCUAACCAUAUUUCAAUCAAUUGAAGAAUAAACUAGAAAUUAAAGUUCAUAAAUUUUGUCUUGAAAUUCUGAAACACACUUAUUUUGUAAUAAUUUUUUUUCUCUACAAUGACAACUGAUUUGAAACGGAGAGAGUAUAUAGCUAAGACCAAAGAUGAACCAAUCCUAAUAAUAGAAAGGAAAAGACAAAUCUGAUUCGAAGAUCAAAACUCGACUAAAUCUAGAACAUAAAUAUAGAGGCGAAGAUCGAAAAAACAUAGGAGAAGAAACAUAAAACAAAACUAGGGUAACUCGGAGAGCAGUAGGCCGUCAACACCGGAAGAAAAGGUGUGACGCCAGCGCUAAGAGCAAACCGACAUCGCCGGCGAGAAAAGUGAGUCGCUAGAGCCAAGUACCAGCCAUCGGUGCUCAAGAGCCAUCGCAAAGUCAAAUAAUAGACUUGAAUUUCAGACUUUGGUUAUCACCAGAAACGAGAUCGACGAGAAAAGCGAAUCUCUCUCUCUAAAAAGUUUUAAGAGAGAAGAGAGAGAAAACCCUGCUCCUUUUAAUAUUUAUUCUGGCGUUCUAACCGAUUUAUUAGUAAUACAUGUAUCAAAUCUAAAGUGUGCAUCAAAUGAAAUUAGUCUUAUUUUUCUUAACAAAAUUCAAUCAUUUAUCUUUAUGGGGAUUGCACUUUAAGAUAUAGCUUCAGUUUCUAGAUGGUUCAGAAAAUUACGCAUGUUGUACUAAUUUAUAUUGAAAAAAGCAGUUUGAAACUCAAUAUUUGUAUUCACACGUUAUGCUAAAACUACAGCCUUAAGAUUGGAAUGAUAUGGAACUAAUUAUCUGUAUAUCUGCAUGUCUGGAAUGAUGUAUAACUAUUGACUGUAACUAUCUCUUAGCGUGGAUUUGUAUAUUUUAGAACAAAAAAAAACAAAAUUUGCGUGGCGUUAUGAAUAAUCAUUUUUAAAUUUCAAAUGAAAAUGCACAGUGACCUCGACAGUGUUAUUUUGAUAUAUCGAAUCAUCUGUGGUUUGUGUUUGUUCGACAUUGGCUGCGUAGUUACGCAUGGCUCGUCUUUUCAACAUACACUCUUGAGCUAAUCACUAUGAUUAUAAAAUGAGUUGAAUAAUAUAACACUGGGCUAUACCCUUUUCGCGGUCCUAUUUCCUCUCCUCAUUUCACGACUACAUGUGCCCUCAUAGAGACACUUGCUUUUGCAUUUUACUUUAUGUUAAUCUGAGCGAUAAAAGGCCUCUAAAGACCAAAUCCAAGCAAAUCCCUGAACAAAUGACCAAACAACAAUUUAGUUAAUAGUAUCUAGUUUCUGUUCACUCCCUCUAUGAGUUUACCAAAAAACAAACAUUUCUUUACACAAAACUAGUCUUAUUCACUUUGGGAUUGGUGAUGUGCUUAUUACUAUGUCGAGCUAUUCCUUAUACUAUAAAUUAAAUAAACAUAAUCUCUUCAAUUACAAGCAAUGUAUACUACUUUGUUAAUGUGCUACGUACACCAUUAAUUCAAGUUGCCUACUCAAAACUGUAGAACUUUCUCUUGAAUUUAUUAAGGGAAAAUUAGAAAUAUAGGACAUUUUGAACUUUGAUUUGUCACAAUAAGAUUUUGUCUAAGUUUUUUGUCCUAUUAAGAUUUUAAUUAAUGUUAAUACGAUUAUGCCCUUAGAUUAUUGAAAUUUUAAUUUAAUUAAAAUAUAGAAUGUUUAUUAAUUAUAUUUAUUUAUAAUUGUUUUUACAUUAGAGAUGGAAAGAAAAAUCAAAAGCAUUAUCAGUUACGUAAUUGUGUCUGUUUCAUUCUUUCUUCUUCCACAAUUCAAAGCACGACAUUUUUUCACAAAUACCUUUAUGAGGUUUCUGUUCUCAUCUUCUUCUUUAUCUUCUCAGAUUAUUGUCUUCAUCUUUACUUGAUAUCCUUCUUAGCCUCUUUGAUUUCACAUUGUGUCAUGUGAAGAUGGUUUAUAGCAUCUUCGAUUUUAUUUCGUAUUUGAUUUGAUGGGUGAUUUUCUUUUGUUCUUGAUUAGAUCCUUUGUUAAAGGCGGCCAUUAAAUCGGAGUCACCAAAAUUAUUCACGUUUUUAAGUUUUGAAAGCUUGAAAUUAGAAAAUACAUGCUAAAUCUACAAAUUUAAACCAUACCCAGCAAAAAAAAUGCAAAAAUAAUGGACGAAAUCAAUCAAAGAAAGCAUGGUGGCUCUGUAAAAAUAUCUCUGUAACCCUAAAAACUGUUAAGAAAGAUGAUGACUUAUUUACGGUUAUGCCAUUAAUGAAAAUAAACACUAAAAAGAACAAAAUGCGCUUCUUGGAGAUCGAACCUGACAACCAUGUAACAUAAACCUAUCCAAUUCCCAGUAGGCCCCAUCAAUAAAUAAUGUUCUCUAUACAAAUCACUAUGCAAUAUAAACAAUUUUCUGAAAAUUGAAAAAUGGUGUUUAAAAUUAAUCCCCGAUUAAUCGGUAUUUAGUAAAGAUAUUUAAAAAAAAUAUGGAACUUCCAGAUUUUUGGUUUAGACUAAAUUUAUUAAAGAUAUUAAAUAAAAUAUUCUUUGAGAGAUUUAUGAUGUUAUAUAGUUUAGAUUCAGGAAACAUCUUCAAUUGAAUAUGAAAGUUUCCAUAUUUUCCGGAUUUACCUCGAAUAUGUAUACUAGCUACGCAGAACAAAAUAUAGUAGGCGAGAAACAUAUUCUUCUUUAAGGCGUCAUAUAAGGUAAAAGGCAGAACAAGUUAUGUCACGUAAUAUAACCGACAUAUAUCAUUGAAUUGUGGCUAUAUAUCGUUAUCAAACUGUAGGUAGACCGAAAACAUCUUUCUUGAUUAUAACGUAAUCAAUUCUAUAUGUGCUAGAUUAUACAAGAAAUGUUAGUUUACAAUAUAUACCCUAGAUAUAUCUAUGUUUAAAACUUAGAAUCAGACAUAUAAACUAGGUAGAUUACUAAAAUGAAUUUUCUAACUGUACCUAGAAGAUAAAAUAAAAUAUGAUUCCAAUUUUUUUUUUUAAGUUUAAACAUAUAUAUUGUCAUACUUAUGUUUCCAACAUUUUUUAUAUUUUUUUACAUUUUUAAAAUUCAAUUUACUAUUUUUCUCAUUAAAAAAGGGUAAAACAUGUCCAAAAUUGUCAAAAGUAUGAGAAGUUUUAUUGUGACAGACAAAAGUUCAAAGUGUCCAAUUUUUUCAGUUUUUCCUUUUUUUAAUUUGUGUUCUAUAAGGCUGCAUCUAAAUUAUUGUUUUUUGUAACUUUUUACUGCAUUUAGCAUUACAUUGAGUUUAGUUGGAUCUUUUGUAUCAACAUUCGUUCGAUUUCUGUCUUUUAGGGCUUUCAUUUUUUCUACGGUUAUCUUUUUCUUUCUAAAAAUAAUAGUGACACAAACUUUUAGCAAAGAACUCUGCGUGUAGCGUGCAUAUCGGUCUAGCUACCUUAUAUGGUGUUAUAAGUUAGUGACUAUCUAUUGUAUGAACUAAAAUGUUUUCGGAUAAUACUUCUAAUGACGUUUAAACUACUAUGGUUCUUUCAGUCUUUUCGUGGAGGCAAUUGAACAAGAAAGACAAUGAGGAAGAAACAAAAAGUCACCAACAACAGAUCCUUAAUUCAUUUUUUUCUUGGAUAUCUAGGAUCUUCGACCGGAGAAGCACGAAAAUCACAAUAUAAUAUGUAAUAUUAGUUUUAUCAUAAAUAUCACCAAGUCUUAUAAUCUCUAAACUAUUUAUAGUAACUUUUUAGCUGAGAUAACAAUACUUGAUAGACCCAUAAUUCAUAUGACACCACUUUACCAACAAAAAAAACUUAUAAGAAGAUGGAGAGUUGGAGACAAAAGGCACCACACUCGUUUUUUUUUUGUAACUUAGGCUUUCGUAUAUUAAAACAGAAGAAGAAAAACGUUUUCAAGUCAUUAGGCUUUAGUUACAGGGCCAAACACAAUUAAAAUAGGAAUUCAUAUAUAGUAGUUACGGCACCAUCACUCGUUACCGUAAACAUUUUUUCAAAACAUUUUUUCUUCUCUACCAUUUCGGUAAGAGCCUGAUAUUAUAACAUUAUUACUUCCCUAUUUCUCCCAUUUCCUCCUUGAGGACCUUAACAAAACUAUACAAAAACAUAUCUCUAAUACCUCCUUUGCAAAAACCAUACUUUUUAAGCAAACCCUCCUUUUCAAACCCAGCUUUCUCCAAAACUUUCCGAGACGCUUCAUUCUCCACCUCAACCACCGCUUGUAGCCUCACCACGUCCGGAAAAAUCUCAAAAGCUUGUUCCACGGCCAUCCUCACCGCCGCCGUGGCUAUCCCCCGUCCCCAAAACUGUCUAGAGACGGCGUAUCCAAGGUCAGCUCGGCACCUACCAUCGCCAGUAUCAGGCCUGACGGAGACGCAACCUAUCGAACGACCGUCUUUGAGAAGACAAAUGGAACGGCGCCACGGGUGUGGUAUGGCCGUUUGAAGGAUGUGUUGUCGGGCUUCUUCCACGGUUUUAACGGAGGUCCAUCGAAGGUAACGUGUGACGUCAUCAUCACCGGCCCAUUUAAGAACGUCUUCGGCGUCUGAGAGAUCAAACGGACGGAGGAAGAUACUUGGUGACGUUUCCAUGGUUAUGGUUAUAAAAGCUGUGUAACUUGUAUCGCAAUUAAAUACUCUAAAACGAGCUAUACCAGAAAAUCUACAGAAAUAGUUAUAUUGGGUUUCAAAGCCCAUUAACAAUUUGGGCCUAUAUAAAUAGGUAAAUACAUAUAUUUAGGAGAUUUUCUUUUUUUUUUUUGUCGGGGAUUUAUUUAGAUAUUACAAUUAUGAGAAAGAUUUCAAAGACGAUUCGAUAACCGACAAUUCUACCUGCCUUAUGAGGAUCUACGCCUAACUGCAUCAUUUGAGCCGUCCUAUGAAGAUCACGCCUGACCGGAUUUAUUUGCACCAUGUUGAGAAAUCCUUGUAAGCCUUUCUUCUGUAAUCGCAUAAUUGUUGAAUAAAUCGCUUGCUCCGGGAAUUGAAACCUGGAUUUCCUGUGCAAUCUGCAAGAAAUUGCAUAGUCUGGGAUUUGAACCCUAGACCUGGGUGUAGAAACCUUUAAACCAUAACCACUAGGCNNNNNNNNNNNNNNNNNNNNNNNNNNNNNNNNNNNNNNNNNNNNNNNNNNNNNNNNNNNNNNNNNNNNNNNNNNNNNNNNNNNNNNNNNNNNNNNNNNNNGGUCGGGGCGGGUUGACCCGCGAACCCAGCUUUCUCCAACAAAAUAAAACAAAUUGGCAUUUUAAAAUAAUAACAAAUUGCUGUUGAAAUAAUAAUAAUAAUAAUCUAUAUAUUAUUUGUUAAUAAUAAUAAUAACAAAUUGUAUAUUUUGUUAUUGAUUUCAUUUGUGGACAUAUUUGACAAAGAACAACAGCAGGUGAGGUAUAUUCUGUUUCAACGUCCAAGUCAAUAUUAGACGAUAUUUAUAUUUUGUAAAAAUGUUAUUAGACUAUAUUUAUCAUUAGUAUCACUCAAAAUACAAAUUUAUUGUAUAUAGCGAUUUAUUUUGUUACAACGUAAAUAAUGUCUGAAACUUUAUAUAUUAUGGCAAUAAAAACGUUGGUAUCUAUCUAUCAAUCAAAUUUAAAACAUUGACAAAACACAUUAUGUGGAAAACACCGUGAACUAUUUGUUUGGGUUAAAAGAUUUUACACAAGAUAUAGGGAUCAAUUUACAGAAAAUACAAUUUCUUGUAAAUUACAAGAUUCAAGCCUUUUACAAGUUUAAAAAUGCUCAGAGCUGUUCAUAUUAUGGUAGUUUGCUGCAGAAAUUCACCAAGAAUGUUGUAAAUGUAGAGUUGUUUGUCAAUCCGAAUGUUAGGCGUUGUGAUGGUUUUUAUCACUUUCUCCAACAAAAAAUAAAACAUAUUGGCAUUUUAAAAUAAAACAAAUUGCAUAUUUUGUGGACAUAUUUGACAACGGAAAACAGCAGAUGAGGUAUGUUUUGCUUCAACGUCCAAGUCAAAAUUAGACGAUAUUUUUUUUCUUUUUUAAAAAAAAAUUAGACGAUAUUUAUUAUUAAUAUCAUUCAAAAUACAAAUUUAUUGUAUAAAAUAGCUAUUUAUUUUGUUACAACGCAAAUAAUGUCUGAAACUUUUGAUAUUAUGGCAAUGAACGUUGGUAAGUUUCUAUCAAUCUAAUUAAAAAAAUUGACAAAACACAUUAUGUGGAAGCGCCAUGAACGAUUAGUUAGGGUUAAAUGCUUAUACACAAGAUUUAUGAUUCGAUUUACAGAAAAUAUAAUUUCUGGUAAACUAUAAGAUUCAAGCUUUUCACAAGUUUCAAAAUGUUAAGGGCCGUUCAUAUGGGAAAUGGGCAUAUUUCGAUCCAAACAAUUUUACUCGUGCCAAAUACGACAAGAAAAAAUGAUCAAUGCUAAAUCCGACCUUAACUCAAUUAUAAUUCAAAAACUAGAUUCCGAUCCGUGCGUCCGCACAUGUGUUUUUUUCCAAUAGUUAUAUAAAUAUUUCAAAACACAGCUAUUUGAAGGUGGCAGAAGAUUAAGUUUUUGUGUGAAUACAUGUAUUUGGAAAUAUGAUUUAGCUCCAAAAGAUUUGACCUUUUUAAGUUAAAAUGACUAUAAUAUAUAGUUUUUAUUUAAUCAAAUUAAAUAUACUACCGCAACUAAUCUGUCUAUUAAGCAAAAAUUAGAGAUUGACCCACAUAUUCGUGCCAGUAUUUUUUUAAUUUAUAUACAUUAUUCUAUGUAAUUGGUCGUGUAAAUAAUUUAAAAUCUAAUAAUUUGAAAUGAACAUCUCCAAACUCAUAGUUUUAAAGCUUGCAUGUAAAAUUUUAAUUUAUUCCUUUGAAGCACAUAUUACAUUAGAUAGUUCCUAUUAUAUAUUUAUUUUAUUAAAAAUGCAUAGGAUUAGUUAGUUUAAAAAGAUACUCAUAAUAUAACAUGUUUAAAGAUUAUUGAAUAUUUACUUAUAAUUUUUAUAUUGUUAGUUAUUAUCAAACUGUUAUUUAUUAUUUCUACAAGUUUUAAUUAGCUUUUAAAAUUUGUGAUCAAAUACUCUUGUACACAGAUUUAUUUUCAAAAUUUGAUAUUAGCUUCUUUAUAUAUCAUCAAAAUGUUAGUCAAUUAUGUAGUGAUCUAUAUAUUAAUUAAUAUGCAAGACUUAAUUUAGAUUAUUAAAACAUAAAUUUAAAGUUCAUUUAAUUAAAUUAAAUUAUAUAUAGUUAUAUAUUUUUCUUUAUAUAUGUCAACAAAAGUUACAAAAGCUAUAAUAUGUAUUAAAAAGAAACAGGCUAACAAAACGUAAUAACUCGAAUGGACUUUAGAGUUUAGAGUAGAACUGGACCACACCCACCACUAACCAACAAACAGAUUAAUAAUAAGGGAAAAUACAAAAACUUAAAAUGUUGAUUCAAUUGGCACAUAACUUCCUCACCACUCUGAACUUCUAAGAAAUGGAAGCGUAUGAAUGAAACCAGUGGAAGUAAUCUCGAAGCAGUGUAAGUUAAGUAUGUUCCAAACUGGAUGACGACAUAAUGAAAGUAAGCAUCAGUAAGUCAGUCGUCCUCCAUUUGCAGUCUCCUGCAAAAAAUAUCAUAACUAAACCAUUUCAUUUAGACCAUAACUCGUUCAGAUCCGUAUGCAUGUAUGGCUAAUAAAAAUCCUUACCUUCUCGCUUAAACUCAUGGCCCCGAUUAUAAUCAUUGUUUCCUCGUGUGCCAGUUCAUCUCUCUUACCAGCCUAUGUUGGACAGAAACACCAUGCCAGUGGAAGCUAGAAAGAAAAAUACUUUCCAUAGUCAAGUAACUUACUAAGUGGGGGUUAUUGGUUCUAAUACUUUAGUGGAUUUAUAAUUUUUUUUGGAUUUAGAAAUCAUUGACAAAUCUCUUUAUUUUAAAAUCAAACAAACAGAUUUCAAAAUCAAUGAUAAAAAUUUCCAAAUCAAAAUAAGUUGAUUGUUAUAAAUGAAUGAAAUGGAUUUUCAAUUGAAGUAUAGGGCAUCUAAUUCAUCACUUGCAUGCGACAUUGGAAGAAACGUCAGUAAUAUCUCUCUUCACAAGAGACAAUCAGUCCACCAUUUCGGAAGAACACGGUUUCGUAACGAUACAAAGUUAACGCCGCCAUCCGAUUCUUGUGUCGGUACGGCGAGAAGUUAAAACACUCCAGCCAACUACGCUUAAACUCCUCUGCUCCGUUGAUGAAACGUCUGACGAACAAAGUUAUAGUCUUUUGUGAGAAAGGCACAUAAAUUGAAAAACAUAAGCAUCAACAUUCCAGCAGCUUUUAAAAUAGUGAAGAAACACCUCAGGAAAAACAAAUCCUUUUCGUCAACAACGGCUCCGCCGUCUUUUACUUCGGCAACGGAAAAAAAAAAUCGUCUAAAGCACGGAGACGCGACGACCCUCUUCUGCAACAACAAGAUAGCAUAAAAGUGCCAUCCUACACGAUAAUAUGAUAACUACAUAACCCCAGCUUCGUUUGUAUGUAUUUUACAAUAAGUUUGUGUGCAAGACAUGCCCCCGAUGCAAGUUCUGAGCAUGAACAAAAGACAUUAUAAUGAUGUUUAUAUCUGAUAUCAUUCAAAUUACCCUAAGGAGUGAUUUAUACUCUCCCAAAUAAGAGGUCGAGUUGUAGUACUUAGGGAUCGAAUUCACAGGGAGCUAGGGAACCAAAUAAAUCUAAUUAGUUUGAUUAAGCUAGGCUAAUAGGUUUAAAGCAGUAAAUAAAGAUAUGCAAAGCAGUAAACAGUAAACAAGUUGAACAAGACAAUUGUUCAGCUUGACAAAGAGUGUUUGAUGGAAGGAUGGUUACUAGACUUAGGGUUUCAUUCAGGUUAUUAGAACUCUAAACUAUAGAUGCUAAGGAUUGAUUCUAGAACUCGAUAUCUAAUGCAAAAGACAACCAGCUCUCACUGUGAGUCUAAUCUAUUGACUAAGUUCAGUGUUUCAGCUCUCGCAUGUUAACACAGAUCGAGCGUCGAUCGAUGCUAUGGUGUGAGCGUCGAUCGGUGCUACAGAUUGAGUGUCGAUCGAUGCUAUGGUAUAAGCGUCGAUCGAUGCUGCCUUAGGCAAGCGUUAUCGAUCUGAUCGAUUAUGUUCAACUAGAUUCCUAGACCAACUCUCGUAUGCGCCUAGGUAUCUAAUCCAGCAGGAUUCGGGUUCCGUUAAUUGAUUACACUCUCGUGCCUCUCAAUUAUCCUAUGAUUCUAGGUUCAAGCAAUUAGUCACACUCUCGUGGAUUUCCAACUACUCUAGAUCCUAGUAUUACAAGCCAUCCUGAUGUAGAGAUCUUUAGAUAUCCUAACAAUCAUAUAAUUCAGAAAUUCAUUCAAAACCCUAGAAAUUCCUAAACCUAACAGGUGGAUAUACUCAUGCAUGAUGUUUGUCACAGAAAUCAUAGAUGAAUAGAUGAAUAACAUAAAAUAUAAAUAAAACCAAAACAAUGGAGUUCCAAGAGGACUCUGAAGGAGUUCCAAGAGGACUCUGAAGGAGUUCCUCUCUUCUCUCCUAACCUAGAACUAUGAAUAAAAUAAUGCUUAGAUAACGUAACCGUUAACAAUGGCUUAUAAAUAACAUAAAUAGGGUUUCUGGUCGUCCAAGGGUAUUCUGGUAAUUUGGGGUUGCUUCUGGGCUUCAGCGGUCAUAAAUAAUGCUCAGCCCAUAUUCUGGCAUCACUGACGACAUCGAUGCUGUCGUCAGUGACCGACAGUCCUUCAUCUCCUCGACAGCUUCCUCUCGCGAGGCAGACUGACCACUCUUCAGUAAAACGGUCAUAACUUCUUCUACAUGAUGUUGAUUGACCUCAAACCGGUGGCAUUGGAAAGAUAAAUCAAAGCUAUAUCUUGUGUCAAAAGAUGAGCUCAAUCUAAAGGUCGGAAGGUCUCCAUCCAUAGCUAGACAUCUGACGCGUCUUUGCAGCUCUGCACUCAAAAGGCUCCAAAAGACACCAAAAUCACCACAUUCCUCCAAAUCGUCUCUGAACCUGUAAAUACUCUAAGGAGGUGUUAUUGGUUUAUCUAUUUUGAUUGAUUUAGAAAUCCAUGUAGUAUUUAUAAAUCCAAGUAAAAUAUGCAAAUCCGGAGGUUUUUCUUCGGAUUUGAGUCUUUGUGUUUUUAACUAAAAAAUCCAAACAAAUCCAUUCAAAUCCAUUAUAAAAUCAAAUAUAUUAGUAAAUCCUUACGAUUGAAUAACACUUGAUUUGAUAUAGAAUUUAUGAAUCAUUAAACCAAUAACACAUGAUUAUAAUACAGAUUUGAAAAUCAUAGAACCAAUAACACUAGAUUUAGUUAGAAUUUUCAAAUUCAUUAAAAUUCAACAACCAAUAACCCCUACUAAAUAGACUCUAUAUAGUAGUAAAUAUAUAUUAAAACACCUAUAGACCAUGGAUAGAAGUGGGUAAAAUCCAUGGUCUAUCAAUAUCAACCACGUGUAUUGGGACACACAGAAAAUAUAAGGAAAUGGAAAAAACCCAAAAAUGCAAAUCCAAUCAAAAUAACAAAGUUUAACUUGAUUUUUGCUCCCUUGUAUUUUACUCUUAAAAAUACUCAUAAAUCCACUCAAAUCAAAAUCAAAAUCAAAUUCUCAAACAAAUCAUUAACAUUGAAUAACACUUGAUUCUAAAAUCUGUUUUAAAAUCAUAUAACCAAUAACACCAGAUUUAAAAUAGAAUUUUAAAAUAAUAAAACCAAUAACACUUGAUUUGGAUUGGAUUUUCAAAUCCAUAAAAAUACAUAAACCAAUAACACCUUGUAAUACUUAACAAAUAAGACAGGGGUUGCACCAUCAUAUGUGUUUUUUUUCCUAUCCUAGAUUUGUUUGGGUUGAUCAUAAAAGAGAAACCACCUCAUGGAUGUGAAUUGAGACAGAGCUUUCAACUGAGCUUGCCUAAACAGCUAGUCAUUAUUCCUAUUAUAGCAUCACGAACCUGAGGCAUAUAAAAAGCAUUGAUAAAAGUAAACACUCACAUCUAUAUAUGCAUCCACCGAAGCGCUUCUUUCUUCCUCUAAUUCUUUAUAUAAACAAGUCGGCAAUUUCCUGUCAUGAUGAACAUGUAUUUUCAAACGAUUAUUAUCACUUUGUCCUUCGAUUUCACUCAUAAAAUCUACUUCCAAUGAUAAGUUGCAUGUUUCCAUAAGAAAAUAGAGAAUGUUCUUGUUACUUGAAUCAAGAAAUAAAAAAACGUAUUACCACUUGAAAACAAAAAGAUGAAACUGAGAGAGAGAACCAAGAAAAGAGACAAAAUCUGUAUUGAAACAAAGAGAUGAAACUGACCAUGUGGCGCAGCAUACGAACUGGAUAAUCAGCUCAACCAAGGGAUUUGAUAAUCCUCUUUGGGACCUGCUUCGCUAUUCGAAGAAUCACUUGGGACCGGCUUCCUGUUUUGAUGAAUUUAAUCGAAUCAAAAACAAAGAUUUCAGAGAAAUCUCUCUAGAAUUAAAAUAUAUCAAAAGCUAUCUUACAAAAUAGCCUAAUGGCUUCUUAAAUAGAAAACCUAAACGAAAACCCUAACUUAACGAAUAAGCUAAACCGAGAUAAAUUAGUAAAGCCCAAAAGAAAGCCCAUGACUACAUUUCUCUAGUAAACGUGAAGGAGAGGUAAGAUGCACUGCAUCAGGUCCCUCCGGGUUUGAAAGAUUCGACCACGAAUCGAAAAGGAAAGCUCUGCUCCCAAAUCUCCAAUAGAAGCAUCCUCGUUAGUUUAGCUGCUCUCUCCUCCGAACUCUCCAUGUUCUCACUCUUCUCUUUAGUUUCCCCAUGUUUUGCAUACCUUACCCGAUUACAAGUAAAGAGAUCUCUGCACAUCCAAGUGAAGUUGUAGAACUUGGCGAGACGUUGAAUACUCACCCUAAGCUUCUCACCAUUCAGCCUGUUAUGUGGGAAUAAGUGAACAACCACAAAUACACCUGGCCUUGAAUGAAACGAGGUAUACCGAAAGAAAGAAAGCACGUCUUUAUCCAAGAAGAAACACAAAGGCUUGCUUGAUGUGCAAGUAACAUCACUCCACCAAAUCAAGGGCGUGGGUGUAUAGCUGGAACCAAGGCUCGAAGAAACUUGACGACUCAUAAAGAUUCUACUUGCAACCCUUGUUUCUUGUUUGUUAUAAAAUGUAAAGGUCAUCCCCACAACAUGUGGAACCCGCAUAAGAAACACUGAUCCUACCGUACCGACAGAUAUCACACAUGCCAGAUGAUAAUCAUGAAUACAAACAUGUGCCAAUAUUUCUCCAAAAACAACUGAACGCAAACCCUUCUCUAUGCUCUUUAGAAAACACAACAGCUCAUUGCGAAAGAUGACCCAAAGCAACUCGUGUGCUUCUAAAACAGUCACACAACACCAAUUAACAACAUAUAUCAGCCUUGGCUUGACACAUAUAGACUCCCAAUAUGGAUAUCAUAGAACUCUGGUUCUUGUCGUGCAAGUACCACAAGGAGACUCAGGUUGUAAAGAAAAGGUUGGAGGACACAAUAUCGUAGUGGCCGUAAGAAUAAUGGUGAGAAACUUGAGAUCCUGGUGAGCCACAUCGGUUGAACAAACUGUGACACCUCCGCAAUAGAAAUGUUUGUCAUAUCAUCGGAUGAUCCCAAUGUUAUUAUACUCAAGAUUCUUGUGGCAAGUACAAACUCACUUGGUACAGCUGUAAACAUGUAAGGGAGUAACAUGAAUGGCUUCAAAGCUAGUGGUGUACACAUAAUCCCAGAUUCCUCCAUACCAAAAGUGACAACACAAAGAAAUUCUCGUACUGCUUCAUAUUCCACUUCGAACCAUUCCACUAAAACACCAACAUGAAAGAUAAUACCAUGGAAUAUCAAUCUCCUAUCGUUGCAAAAUUUGCACUCAUUGCUCGUAUUUUCCAAAAUAUCAGAAAAUUUCUGUCCCACACAAGCAAUAGAACAAAUUCGGUGCGUCGAUGACAAAUUUCUCAAACUCGUGCUUUGACUCAUCCAAAGCAGUGUAACUGUAGAUAACAUCAAAUCACGUUCCCACAUUAUUAUUUUAUGAGGAAAGAAAAGGCUGCACAUGUCUUUGUAUUGUUGGCAUGAGAUACGAAACACCAAGUUGCUCACGUGACCACAAUCCGUAGAAAACCAGCAAUACUUUUGCUCAAUGUGCGGUAGACACACACACACCGCCGGGAACGUGCCAUUGUCUCUAACGCGAGGUUCGUUCGGUAGCUCAAAUGUAAAACAUUCUUGCGCAAAAUUAUCAUUAUAUUUCCACCUUUGAUCUACAUGAUCAUGAGGUUGAGGGUCACGUCUCCCGCCAUAGCGAGUAUACACAUCCAAGAUAUUUGGAAGCUCUACAUCUUGAUCCUUGGAAACAUGUAGUACAUCAUUUUGUUCAGCUGACUUACCUCGGACAAAAAUGGUUUGUGAACUAGUUGAGUCUCCUUGAUAACCGAGACCUGUCGUCGUCUUCCCUAUCCUCCCCAUGCUUAAGAUCUUGUCUAAUGUCGCGGAUCCUCUGUUUAACAUACGGAUGUUCUUAUAUGUCUCAUUCAAAUCAAGUUCCAAAGUCAUGCUUUUCUCUUUCUCCCACACAAGUGCCUCUUGAAGUUCAACAAUCUUCUUUUCCAAUGCAUAUUUCUCAGAAAGAGACAUCACACUCACAUCAUCCCUUUGAUCUUGCUUGAAUUUCUGACUACGAAACUUGGUUUCCAGUAACUUUGUGUCCUCUUCAGCACACUCUGAUCCACUGGUUCCUGAAACAAAAAGGCUGUGUCUUACAUCAUGAUUUACAUAUGCACGUGCUGUAUUUUGAGCACGAUCAGGUGGCUCGCAAAUGACUUGUCUAUGACAUUCCUUUCUCCAAUCCACAUGUUGCUUCAUCGCAUCCACAGACAUAUCAUCAACCUUCUCGUCGAAGACUAGACCACGUUCUGAUUUUGGCUCUUCGAUAAGUUCUUCUUUCUUCAUUGACAUACUGUUGAUCCCAAAGGCCAGCUGGAUCACUAAUCUAUAUUAUAAUAGUUGAGUUUUUACUCACUCCUCAGCGCGCCACAUCAGCGUUUUGUGGGUCCUACUUUAAAAAGUGUGAAAAAGUGUCACGCCAUGGCUCGAACCCAGGUUAUUGAGAUAUAAAUACCAACAUUUAUACCACUAAGCUAAAUGAUACUUUGUACAUUGUUGGCCGAACCUAAUAUAUAUUUAUGAAGGUUGGAAGCUCUUGAUUCUUCGACUUCCUCUGAGCAGAUCGGGCCUACAAGUGUAUUAUGGGUUUCAUUUUUAAAUGAAAUUCAUCACGUUAUAUGAAAAAGUUCAAGUUUGCAACAAUUAUAGUUUUUCCAUAUUGUAAACUAAUGUCGUUUAACAUGAGUUUGAGUUCUUUUCAUCAUUGUCUCAAACAAGUUUGAGUUACAGAGUUGCGCUGUGUGUCUGUUCGUAAUCUAUUUUUUCAUCGGUGAACUCUUCAUGUCCCCAUCUUAAAUCGCUUGAUCAUAAAUGUUCCUGAUUUGUAGCCCCUCUGUAAACCCUAUAUAUAUGAUUCUCAUCUUUCAUGAACCCAAUCUGCAUCUCCACAAAACUCAUUGAUUCCUCUUAGCUUUAACCAUCUUCUAGAAAACAUUUCUCUCUGCCUCUCCAGGUCUUCAAACCGACGUCUCGGCAUCCAUCACUCAACCUUCGAGUCUCUCCGUCUUGGUCGUAGUAGUCAGAGCAUAGCCUCUGGCUUCCUCCGCUUCUGGGAUUCCCUGAACUUCAAGAAAGAUAGGGAGUUUGUGGGAAUCACAGUUCUUUUCCUUGAUGAAAAGGUAAGUUAAUAUUCGAUCUAUCACACUUAUUUAACAUAAAUUUUUAAUUGAUUUCCUGAUUCUUUGUUGAAUAAUAUUAGUUGCAGAUUCCGUGAUUCAUGGGUUUACUCCCGUCGGACGUGCUAAUCAUUACAUGCCAUCUUUGAAAGCAGAUUCCAUUGUGAAAGUCGAUCGUUUUGAGGUUGCUAGGUGCUCAAGCAUGUACAAGAUAACUGAUCAUCCAUUCCUCAUUCGUUUCAUCUCACUAACCAUUAUUGAUGAAGUCAUCACAAAUGAUCCUGAGAUCAAUCCCCAGUCAAGAUUAGACUGUUCGACAAUCUCCAAGUAACUGCGAACACAAACCUAGAACUCCUAGGUAUAUUAUCACAUUGCAUCUGGGUUUAUAUUAUGUUUCGAUAUCAUAACUGAUAUUUAAACACGCAGAUGUUGUUGGGAAAAUCUGUUAUGUUUAGGGCUCUGAACUCACCAAAGAAACAACUCGAGUCGUUAUCCGUCUCCUCAUUGAUCCGUAAGAAACAAUCAACACAUAAUUCUCUUUUUAUUACUGUCUAUAUUGUGCUAACAUCAAUAAUCAAAAAUAUUUUCUACCCAAGAUUUGUGGUCGUCUAUUUAUAUCUCUUACUUAUCAAUCUAAUUUUACACAAAUCUUUAUUUUACAGCUUAAAAGAAACCACAAUAACCCAAACAACCAGAACACCAAAAACUAGAAUCCCAUCCAUUGUGAAAGUCGAUCGUUUUGAGGUUGCUAGGUGCUCAAGCAUGUACAAGAUAACUGAUCAUCCAUUCCUCAUUCGUUUCAUCUCACUAACCAUUAUUGAUGAAGUCAUCACAAAUGAUCCUGAGAUCAAUCCCCAGUCAAGAUUAGACUGUUCGACAAUCUCCAAGUAACUGCGAACACAAACCUAGAACUCCUAGGUAUAUUAUCACAUUGCAUCUGGGUUUAUAUUAUGUUUCGAUAUCAUAACUGAUAUUUAAACACGCAGAUGUUGUUGGGAAAAUCUGUUAUGUUUAGGGCUCUGAACUCACCAAAGAAACAACUCGAGUCGUUAUCCGUCUCCUCAUUGAUCCGUAAGAAACAAUCAACACAUAAUUCUCUUUUUAUUACUGUCUAUAUUGUGCUAACAUCAAUAAUCAAAAAUAUUUUCUACCCAAGAUUUGUGGUCGUCUAUUUAUAUCUCUUACUUAUCAAUCUAAUUUUACACAAAUCUUUAUUUUACAGCUUAAAAGAAACCACAAUAACCCAAACAACCAGAACACCAAAAACUAGAAUCCCAAAAAAGACCAAUCAUUAAUGAUCACCUCUCUUUUUGUCUAAUCUUACAAAUAAACUUCAAAACAAAUAUACAAAACCAAUCAACUCAACUAAAACUCAACGACACAUACAUUGAGCCAUCUAAAUAAAUACAAACUAUACAUCCAGCUAUUUAACAAUUUACAAACUUACUUUCGCAGAUGCUUACGACAAAGACGAAGACGACAACCAAGAUCAGUGAAAUUACCUAAACAAAAAAGCAGAGUAAGUUACAAACUCUGAUAAAUACAACUAACAAUGAUUUUGUUUACAAAUAAAAGAGACACAAACACAACCAUACCAGGAGAUACAAGAGACAAUCCCAACAUACACAAAGGCGGCAACAACAUCUCCACCUGCUCACUCCUCUUGUCUUAUGAAAAUAACUUACAUACUCAAUGUCAACAUGCCAAUGCUAUUGUCUUCUUAUGAGAAAUACAUAUAUUCGUUUAAAACCCAUUAAGGCUCAAAUACUAAUUGUCACUCAUUUUUAUAGUUAUUUUUACAAGUCUUCAUAUAUUUGUUUUAAAGGUCCGGUAAAAUCAACAAGUCUAAAAAUAAAAAACAUAUAACCGGCAUAAUAAGAAUAAAAAAGAUUAUUACUUAAUACACAAAACUAAACCGGAGAAAAAAUAUCCAGAAACAAAAGGUACUCCCAACAAUCUUAACAUAAUUUAUGUAAUCUCAACAGUACAAGUAACAAAUUAAAAAGAUAAACAAACAAUAAGUCUUAGUGACACAGCAAGCAACACCACAAACUAUAUCAAUCACAUUACUAACACAGUUUAGUCCUUCAUGAGUGGAGAACAGUGCAUACACAGUUCAUCAUCACAACUCUAACCCUAUAACAAUAAAAACUUGAGAAUAAUGAUUAACCCAAAACGCACAAUUCACAACUACAAUAACUCUAACAAAUAUUGAGAUGAAACAAGAACUCUGUCCACAGCCCCGCGCUUGCGCAGAGGCAAUGCCCCUAGUUAGAUUAAUAAAAGAGUCCUUAUUUGCUUUUAUGACGUCUUCACAACUUGGAUCAAUAAUAUGCUCUCAAAAAGAUUCUGCGUCAGCUUCUUUAUCAUAGUCAUCAUACACGUCAAACAUCUGACCACCAAUUUGAUCGACAAAAAAGUACUCAUCUCUUUUUAUGUCGACUACAUCGAAUAGGCUGUGGUUUAGAUUAACAAUAUGCUCAGAAAAAAAAUUCUUCGUCUUCUUUGUAGUCAGACAAAUCCAAGUCAUAUUCAUCGUCACUAGGGUUGUCAAAAACAUCUACGUGAUUAGAAUUAACCUGGGUAACAAAACCCUGCACCGCCUUGCUAAGCUUUUGUAUAUCUUCUCUGAGAUACACAAAUAACUCUGCCUCUGUGGGUAGGGACUUUUUUGUAGCUUUGCCCAUCGUUAGAAAUCGUAGUUCGGCUCUGAUACCAACCUGGCGCAGCAUAAGAACUGGAUAAUCAGUUCAACCAAGAGAUUUGAUAAUCCUGCUUGGGACCUGCUUCGCUCAAUCAAGGGAUUCGAAGAAUCACUUGAGACCGACUUCCUGUUUUGAUGAAUUUAAUCGAAUCAAGAACAAGAGUUUCAGAGAAAUUUCUCUAAAAUUAAAAUAUAUCAAAAGCUAUCUUACAAAAUAGCCUAAUGGCUUCUUAAAUAGAAAACCUAAACGAAAACCCUAACUUAACGAAUAAGCUAAACCGAGAUAAAUUAGUAAAGCCCAAAAGAAAGCCCAUGACUACAUUUCUCUAGUAAACGUGAAGGAGAGGUAAGAUGCACAUCACCAUGUUCCAGCGUCGAUGGUGAAUUGAACAUCUUUACAUGGCAAAUCAAACCAACAAAAGCAACCAUCCUAUAAUCAUACCUUUUUUAAACUGUUACAAUUUUUUUGUAAAUAUCUAAAUCAAUGUUAUACAUAAACCCUCGAUUCAAUUAUAGGUUUCUGAGACCUCGUCAGAAGUGGCAAAAGAAGGCGGCUUAAAACUGAGUAAUUACUGGAUGGAAGUACCCAGAAUCUGAAGGUUUUCAAGAAAACGACUGUGUUUUGGAUUCAGUGGCAGAGGAUCGUAAAUAUUUAAAAAAAGUAAUUAUUGCGAUAGCAAAAAUGUAAAACUACUGUGUUUUGAUGACUGACAUAGAUUGAUAAUUAUUGUGGAAAAAUCAGGGUUAAGUAUAAAUUAUACCUCAGUUUUAAUGGUUUAGAUACUACCUAAACUUUUUAAAAUGUGCUAAAAUCUACAUUGUCCGUAAUAGAAGUUAGUCAACCGUUAAAAAACAAAAAUAAUAUCAUUUUGGUUUAAUCUUUUUUAUAAAAUAUGCUUAUUUUAUGAUUCAAACCCAUACAUUGAUACACUUUAAAAGAGACACUCUAACCACUGGUGUAAAGUAAAUGUUUGAUAAAUAAUUACAAAUUUGAAACUAUAUAUACUACUAUACUUUUUCAUAUUUUCCAAUUAAAACUUUGGUGAUUAUUAUUUCUGAUUUGUAUAAAUACAUUAACAUAUUUUUAAUUAUCAUAUCUUUAAUAAACUUAUAUUAUACUAAAAUAUAAAUAAUAAAAUAUUUUAAAUGAUACAAAAUUAAAUAUACUUAAAAUUUUGAAACUAUUUAUAAAUUUUUCUUAUAUAAAUUAUUGUAAUUUUAAAAUUUUGAAUGGUAGUUUUUUCUUUAAAAAUUAAUAUAAUAUAUUUGUGAUAUUUUGUUCAAAAUGUUGGUUGUGUUAAAAGGACUUUUACUUUUCUUUCACUGAAAUAUUUUGUUCAAAAUAUUAAACACAUUAAACAAGAACUAAAAUAUAUAGUACAAUAUAUUAUUUUGAAAAAUAAAAGAAAAAUACCAUUAGUUUUAAAAAUCAAAAUAAUUUUUAUAGUAAAAUUUUAUAAAUAGUUUCAAAUUUUUAAUUAUAUUUAAUUUUGUAUAAUUUAAAAUAUUUCAUUAUUUAUAUUUUAGUAUAAUAUAAGUAUAUUAAAUAUAUGGUAAUUAAAAAAUAUGUUAAAGUAUUUAUAAAAGUCAGAAACAAUUAUCAAACAUUUGGAGAAGAUGAAGAAGUAUAGUAGUAUAUAUAGUUUCAAAUUUGUAACUAUAUAUCAAACAUUUACUUUGGUCCAAUGAUUAUAGUGUCUCUUUUAAAGUGUAUCAAUGCAUGGGUUCGAAUCUCUGAAUGAACAUAUUUUUAAAAACAAAUAUUAAACCAAAAUGACUUCGUUUUUUUUUAACGGUUGACUAACUUCGGUUACGGUCAGUGUAGAUUUUGGCCCGUUUUAAAAAGUUUAUGUAAUAUUUUUAAAUUAUAAUUUAGUUAGAAUUGUAUUUAGCACUGAUCAUUUGGUUAUGUCGUAUUUGGCACGACAUAAAUUGUUUGGGUCGAAAAAGACUCUUUUCCCGUUCAUAUUAUGGUAUUGUGCUACAGAUAUAACAUGUUUACUGAGAAUGUCGUACAUGUAUAUGUUAUGGAAAGAAUUUCGUUGUGAAAUUUUUUCAUGAAUUUGUUUAUUAUUAUUGCGUAUAUUGUAAGUAACUAUCAUCAUUUGUAAUAGAGAUAAGAAAUUAUAUGAUAAUGUAUAUAGUGUAAAACAUACACAUUAUGUUGUAUGAUUUUCAAAAAAUAAGUAAACUGAGAAAGAGGAUUUAGAUCUUUCCCAAAAUUCUAAGAACACUGCAGUUUUAACAUGUUUACUAGGAAUGUAGGUUCGGGUAUUCGUAUGGUCUAGUUGGGUUUUUAGAGUUUUUUUAGAGCCCAUCUUUUUUUUCUACAGUAUGAUUUGGUUAUACAUGUUAAAAUCCAUUUUGUGACUAUGCAUUUUGAGAUUAUGAUAUAUUAGUUUAGUUGUUUUAGAUAUUAUAUCAAAAUAAAAUAUUUAAAGCAAUUAUUUAAGUUAUGAAUACUUAUUUUAAUAUAUCAUAUUAAACAUGUAACUAUUUAAGAUUCAAAUACUUAUUUCAGAUACUUAUCUGAAUCUUUGAACCAUGGUUUUCGAUUAUUUGGGUUUUAAAAAAAAAAAAAUUGAUAUCUAAUGGAUCCACAUUUUGGUUUUGAUUCGGGUCGGAUCCAGUGUUCCAUGAUUUUUGUCCAUGCCUAAUGCUUACUGUUUAGGUUGGGCUGGCAGGUCGGUCACCCAAAUGAUAAACCUGCGCGUAUAUGCCCAUUUAAAUACGGGCCUUGCGGUUAAGAAGUCCAAAAAUAAUGUUUUAGGGAUGAAAAAACAAACAACUCCCGUAUAGUUUGGGGACUUUAAUUUCAUAUAUGCUAUAAAUAUAGAUGUAUUUAGGAGAUUUUGAAGGAAAGCUUGAGCGCUGUUUCUCUCUGCCUCUCUGUGAAUCGCUUAUUCAAUCCGUCUCCCACGCUUUUUAUCUUUCAACGUAAGAUUUUGUUUAUUUAUUUUUAUUAAUGUUUCUCUCUUUGCAGUGACAUAGCCUUGUAUCGAUCUCAAAGCAACGAGAUUGAUGAAACCUUAAUUCUUGGACAGAUGGGUCUAACGGAAGAAGAAAUCAAAAGAAUAUACAGAAUCCAGAAGACGUUGAUGCAGAUGCUCAAGGACCGUGGCUACUUUAUCGCCGAUUCUGAAAUCACGAUGACCCUAUCACAGUUCGUUAGGAAGCAUGGGGACAACAUGAAAAGGGAGGAUCUUGUUACUCUCAGAGCUAAGAGAAACGAUAGCAGUGAUCAGGUAUGAGGCGUGCAUUGAUUGUCUCUCAACAUGUGAUCAUGUUACUCUCAAAAGUUGUGCCAUUUGAACUGCCAAAAGCAUAGUGCGUGAUUGUUUUCAUGUGUUUGGUUUCUUUUUUCUUUUUAAGUCUAUGAUUCAUGCAUGCUCCUCCUGUCCUGUUGUAGCUCUAUGUCUUCUUCCCUGAUGAGGUGAAAGUUGGAAUUAACACAAUGAAAGUGUACACAAACCGGAUGAAGUCAGAGAAUGUUUACAGAGCUAUCUUGGUUGUUCAGCAGAACUUGACUCCUUUUGCUCGAAACUGCAUUAGUCAGAUCUCUUCUAAAUUCCAUCUCGAAGUUUUCCAGGUAGUAAACACAGUUCCCUUGUUUGUUUUUGAUCUCCUCAUGAUGUGGAUCCUUAAUCAAGUUGUGUGUGUGUGUGUGCAGGAGGCGGAAAUGCUAGUGAAUAUUAAGGAACAUGUUCUUGUUCCUGAGCACCAAGUUCUCACCACUGAAGAGAAGAAAACUUUACUGGAGAGAUACACUGUCAAGGAGACUCAGGUUUGUUCUUCUUUUUUCAGUUUUUCUUGGGUGAGAAACUUUGGGGUUCUGUGUGUGAUUAAAAGUUUGAAACUUUGUGGGUUCUGUGUGUGUUUAGCUUCCAAGGAUUCAAGUGACUGAUCCAAUCGCAAGAUACUUUGGACUCAAACGUGGCCAAGUCGUCAAGAUCAUCCGUCCUAGUGAAACCGCUGGUCGUUACGUUACCUAUCGUUAUGCUGUAUAACCAAAAAGCAGCUUUUGUAGAUUCAGAGUUGAACUCUCAGAGCUGUGAAACAUAAGACGAUUACCAAACUAUUGACAAUGGUUUUUUGCUACAUUUAUUUAUUUAUAUGUGCACGGUUCUUUUUGCUACAUGUAAGAAAUUGAAAACCUUACGAGUAUCUUUUAUUAUCAUACUAGGAUAAGACCUGCGCCUUGCGCAUGGUGACUUUAUUUAUAUAUAUUAUCGAUAGUUUCUUUUAUAUAUUUGAUCAUUUUAUUUAUAUAUAUAAAAUAUUUUUUGUUGUUAUUAUAUAAUUUCUUUCCGAUGGAUCGGAUCAAUUUUUAUUAAAAAUUAUGCAACAAAACUAUAAUUAAUACAUCAUGGGUUGAUCAGAUUGGACAUUAAACAAAUUAUGACAUAAAAACCUUAUUUUUUCCAGCGAACACAUUCUUGAAAAAAGUGAACAGUAUUGUUUUCACAGUUGAAUUAUUUUGACUUUUAUCUUCCAUAUGGUUUUGAAAGCUUUCAAAUCAACCAUCGAAUUGAUACAUGUCAUUUUAAUGUUUUUAGUCGUAUACUUAAGGAAAACUUACAUUUUUGUAAUUUAAAGUCGUUUUAAAAAANNNNNNNNNNNNNNNNNNNNNNNNNNNNNNNNNNNNNNNNNNNNNNNNNNNNNNNNNNNNNNNNNNNNNNNNNNNNNNNNNNNNNNNNNNNNNNNNNNNNNNNNNNNNNNNNNNNNNNNNNNNNNNNNNNNNNNNNNNNNNNNNNNNNNNNNNNNNNNNNNNNNNNNNNNNNNNNNNNNNNNNNNNNNNNNNNNNNNNNNNNNNNNNNNNNNNNNNNNNNNNNNNNNNNNNNNNNNNNNNNNNNNNNNNNNNNNNNNNNNNNNNNNNNNNNNNNNNNNNNNNNNNNNNNNNNNNNNNNNNNNNNNNNNNNNNNNNNNNNNNNNNNNNNNNNNNNNNNNNNNNNNNNNNNNNNNNNNNNNNNNNNNNNNNNNNNNNNNNNNNNNNAAUUAUUUUGACUUUUAUCUUCCAUAUGGUUUUGAAAGCUUUCAAAUCAACCAUCGAAUUGAUACAUGUCAUUUUAAUGUUUUUAGUCGUAUACUUAAAGAAAACUUACAUUUUUGUAAUUUAAAGUCAUUUUAAAAAAUUCAAAAUAUAACAUAUAAGAAAACAUCUAAUUUUUUUAUUAUAUGGUUAAUGUGAUUGUUUAUUUAAAAAAAAAUAUAUAUAAUUAAACAUUCAUAAUCAUUGAUUGUCAUAUAUAUGUAAAUCAUAUUAGGUAAUUCCGUAGCUUUUAUUUAAGGAAAGAAUACACACUUCCUAUAUUUUAGGUUAAUAUAAUGUUCUCUACUGUUAUAUAAUUAUGAAAUAAUGUGACACCAUUAGAUUAAACUAUAUUUUAUAUUAGAUGUUCUAGAAUUCUUUGAAAUGAAAUUUAGAAGGCAUUUAGAGUGCCACCUAGGAUUUAGGUUUUUUUCUAAUUAAUACAAAAUUAAGGUUCUAAUUUUUCGAAUGCUUCUCAAUUAAUAUAUAGGAGAUAUAUUGAAAACCUUACGAGUAUCUUUUAUUAUCAUAUAUACACUGUUAGUGCACAAUGGGCAACUUCUCGUCAGCACUUGCCAUGAUUUAAUGGUUCGGACAGUUCAGCAUUGAGAUAAGUUGGGAACAUAGCAAGAUUAAGUCAAAUCAAGUGUUUAUUUGGUUAAUACUCUUUAUGAUGGACGAGAGAAUCGUUUAUGUUAAUGGAAGUGGCCAAGUACAAAUAGAAAGGAACAAUACUUCUUCUACCCAUGUAGAAAAUAAAUGAUGACAAUAAACUUCAAAAUAAAAUAAUGUUUGUUUAUGAGACAGGGAGCUAACAUAGCUUUGACUCCUUGUAACUAAACUCCCUACUCGAGACACCAAGCCCUCCCUCCAUUAUUGCCGGUCGGAUCAUUAACUCAGUAAGAGCUGUUAGGAUCCUUUAAUCCAAACCCACCAAAGCUGCUCCUUCCACUUGACUGUGAAGAACGGUCUGAACCAAAUCCCCCAUAACCUCCUGAUGAACGGUUUGAACCUCCUGAACCAAAGCCCCCGUAACCAGAGGAACGAUCUGAACCACCAGAAUAACGGUUGCCUGAUCCUUCUGAACGAUCACCACCAUAUCUACCACUACCACCACCACCACCAUAACCACCUGAACGACCACCAUAGCUUGAACUGCGAUCCCUCAUACCUCCUCCAUAGGAUCCACCAGAUCGACCACCUAUUCCUUCAAACAUGCUUCCGCUUCCACGCUCCACAGGAAUGCUAGGAAGCUGCAUUAACCCAACCCAAUACCAAAGUUUAGUCUAAGUAGAAGAAACAAAAAAAAAGAGAGGGUAAGUAAAGUAAUAGAGUCAUAUACCUCAGUGAAUUUGCUUCCCACUUCUCUCUCAAUCAUUUUAACUGCCCUUGAUUGCUCUGGACCAUGAAUAAGAAUCGCAUUUCCUUUCUUUCCAGCACGACCUGUUCUCCCCGUUCGGUGAACAAACGUCUCCGUGUUAUUAGGAAGCUCGUAAUGAAUUACCUAUAUUCACGCAAUCAAAAGAAAGAGUUAAUAAGAUAAGAAACAUAACUCGUUAAGAACAAGAAAAGAGUGUAGUUUUUUUACUCACCAAGUCGACAUUAGGGACAUCGAGUCCACGAGCAGCAACAUCAGUUGCAACAAGGAUAUUGAAAUUCCCAUCUCUGAAACCAGCUAGUGUUCUUUCUCUCUGGCUCUGCGAUAUGUCACCGUGUAAAGCUUCACAUUUGAAGGUUUUCGCCAAUCCAUACGAAAGGCGAUCAGCAUCACGUUUAGUUUGUGUAAACACGAUGCAUUUUCCUCCUUUACCAUGCGCCUGCAAACGGAAAAAAAAAAAAAGUACUAUAAAAGCCUUCCCGAUAAAUAACAAGAAAAAUCACAACCAGAAGCAUGCAUACCUCUACAAGAGGACCAAUGAUGGAUGCUUUUCCAUAAGAAUCUGCUGAGAUAGAGUACAUUGUAAUCCCAUCUGCAAGUUUCUGAUCAGAAUCUCCAACCUAAACACACACAAUCAGUCACCUCAUUAACUAACAACUCUGCUAAACCAAUAUAUUCACAAGCACGUAUGGGAGAUUACUCACAAGAUCAAUUGUCAAAGGAUUAUUCAGGUACUUUUUGGUGAGAGAUCUGAUCCAACUCGGCAUUGUAGCAGAAAACAUCAUGCUCUGACGCUUCUCAGGCAACUUUUGCAAUAUAACUUCAACAUCCUCCGCGAAUCCAACCUGAAGCAUCUGAUCAGCUUCAUCGAGAACAAUAAACUGAACCUCUGAGAGAUUCAAAGCUCCCCUUUUCAUUAGAUCGAUGAUACGACCCGGAGUUCCAACGGCUACAUCGACACCGUAGUUGAGCUCCCUCAUCUGCUGUCCAAUGGGUGUACCCCCGUACAGACAGAUGGUAUCCAAGCUUGGAGCAGACUCCCUGAACUCCUUCUCAACCUGACGAGCAAGCUCUCUUGUCGGAGCCAGAACCAAACAAAGAGGGUUCUUCCCACGCCUGUCACACACAUCAAAGGCUACAUAAACAGGCAAACGAAGAGAGACUAGACUGUAAACACAAAGUACAAUCAAUCAAGGGAAUAAACAAACCCGUGUUUAGCGUUGAACUUGAUGAUUUUGUCGAUGACGGGAAUCCCGAAAGCAAGGGUCUUUCCUGUUCCUGUCCUAGCACGACCGAUCAUGUCCCGACCUUGCAUCGCUGGCUCAAGCACAGCUUUCUAUACAAACCAACAAACAUCAAAAAUCAAUGAAAAAGCAGAGACCUUUAAAUUGAUCUGAUUGAAUAAACAAGAGCAUACCUGAAUAGGGAAGAGUUUAUCGAUUCCUCUACCACUCAAAGCUUUGACGAUCUCCGGAGAGAUCCCAAGGUCAGAUAUCGCUAACCCAUCACCGCCGUCACCGCUGCUGCCAACACUCUCCUCCGAAUCUCCUCCGUCAUACGAAGGGGCGUAAUCUUGAGCCGCGAAUCCAGCGGAAGAAGCCAUGGACGCUCUGAACUCCGACGGUCGGGAUUGGAAAUGAAAGUCUCUCGCUUUAACGCCAUACGGGUUCGGAGUCUGAGGGAGAGCGACGCCAGAUUUGAGAACGGAGACUGUGGCGGCGGAGGGGGAUGGAGUAAGGUGGUGAAGUAGAGCGGCGUUGAUGGAGGUGAGAGAGGCGGACAGAGUCUGAGUCCGCCUUGAGGCACCAAGGACGGAUCGGCGGAGAACUGUGCUGAUCAUUUUCAGAUCUAGAGGAGGGAGGUGAGAUGAGAAGGAAAAUGUUUGACAGAGAAAACCCAAAUUAGGGUUUUAGGGUUUUAGUGAGGGGCCUUUAAAGAAGAAGAAGGCAGGUGGCAACUUGAAAGUAUCUACGCCUCCUACAAGUAUUAAAAAAAAAAAAAAAAAGAAGAUAUUUUGUUAUAAUCGCCUGCAGGUGAGUGUAUGGUAUACUCCUGUACCUGCUGCGCGAGUUUAUUUUUCCUUGAGCCCAGAGGUGUGAACAAAGUGGGCCGAGUUACUUGGUGCGUAAAUAAUUCCGGAUUUUAUAAAUACUAAUUUGAAAUUGUCAUAAUUUGAAUUGGUUAUUUUGACUUUUAACUAAUGUUAAUUAAUUUUAAAAAUAUCUGUUCAAUGUGCAUAUCUAACCUACUACUCGGCUGGGAAAUGAGAAUCAUUUUACUGACAAAAUAGAUCCACUCUUUUUCAAAGCUGUAAACUACUCGCGCUUAUGAAGAUUUUCAUGGCGGCUUCAACCAUAGUAUGACUCUGUACAUGGGAUGCCGUGAAGACUGAUAACAAGUCUGGUGAUCACUGAGACUAAACUUGCUCUGAGCAAGCGUGGGAUCGAGGUAAUUGUGUCCCAAGGCCAUUGCUCAACUUAUUGGAUUGUGUUUUUCCAAUUCUCUACUCUGCUUCACAGCAUUAGAAUUCAUAUGGUACUACUUAUUAAUGAAAACAUUCAAAAGACUAACUAUGAUAUAUUGCAAGUCUAUUUUGUUUUGUCAAGCAAUUUCAAUAGAAAAAUCAUCUAACAAACACAUAAUGAAUUGGCAUAUAACAUUGCGCACCAAAAUUCAAACUAAAACCAUGUAUAGCUGACUUAUCUGUUGAAUCCCGUAAGAUUCAGACAUUAUUGCAGGAUCAGGUCAAAACCCCCACCUGUAAACAUUCUCAGAAACGAUAUCUCUAAGCCCUGUCUCACUUGCUGCCUAACACAGGAGACAUAUCCAAACGGGUCUUGCAGUGGAACUGCAGCUCGUACUGAGCUCCGAGGAUACGGUAACGCUUCAACCAAAACAGCUUGUUGCUAAGCUCGUGGCUCUGAGCUUUGAUGACAAGAAACCGUUUCUUGAACCUCAUCUCGAACUGCUCUCUGGACUUCUUGUCGACGUGAGGGGAACGAAGCACCGUGUACAAGGUCCUUGUGUCGGGCAUGGCGGCGUAGCGACUGUGAGGAGGAAGACACCAAGCUUCCUUCUCCGGGUUAUCGAAUGAACGGAUCGCAAUGCAGAUCCUCGUUCCUUUGAUCUUUGAUGUGCUUUCUCCUCCUCCUUUCUUCUAAUUUAAAACCGCAACACACAAGAAAGAAGCAACGGUUCAUAACUGUAUUAGAAUCAUCUAAGAACGAGUUUUAGAGAAGGAAAUGGUACCUUCUUGCUCAAUGGUUUGACAUUCUCCGGAGAGAUUUUGAUCUUAGCUGAAUCUCCGAUGCUGCUUUCACUCCCUGUGGCGUAACCUCGAAACGAGAUCUUCGCCGGGGAAACCAUAGAAGGCUCAGAUCUGAUGUGGAAGUCCCUCGCGCUGAUAACGAACGAUGCGGAGGAGAGAGUAGAUCCAUUCCCAACCAGAUUCAGCUUCACGGAGGCUCCGGUGGCGGCUGAAGUGAUAUUGAGUGAGAGACCCGAGUCAAAAGAGGUCAGCGCGGCGGAGAGAGCAUGCCUCGACGGCAAGGAAGAUCUGCGGAGUACUCCGAUCAUUUACGGAGACUGUGGCGGCGGAGGGGGAUGGAGUAAGGUGGUGAAGUAGAGCGGCGUUGAUGGAGGUGAGAGAGGCGGACAGAGUCUGAGUCCGCCUUGAGGCACCAAGGACGGAUCGGCGGAGAACUGUGCUGAUCAUUUUCAGAUCUAGAGGAGGGAGGUGAGAUGAGAAGGAAAAUGUUUGACAGAGAAAACCCAAAUUAGGGUUUUAGGGUUUUAGUGAGGGGCCUUUAAAGAAGAAGAAGGCAGGUGGCAACUUGAAAGUAUCUACGCCUCCUACAAGUAUUAAAAAAAAAAAAAAAAAGAAGAUAUUUUGUUAUAAUCGCCUGCAGGUGAGUGUAUGGUAUACUCCUGUACCUGCUGCGCGAGUUUAUUUUUCCUUGAGCCCAGAGGUGUGAACAAAGUGGGCCGAGUUACUUGGUGCGUAAAUAAUUCCGGAUUUUAUAAAUACUAAUUUGAAAUUGUCAUAAUUUGAAUUGGUUAUUUUGACUUUUAACUAAUGUUAAUUAAUUUUAAAAAUAUCUGUUCAAUGUGCAUAUCUAACCUACUACUCGGCUGGGAAAUGAGAAUCAUUUUACUGACAAAAUAGAUCCACUCUUUUUCAAAGCUGUAAACUACUCGCGCUUAUGAAGAUUUUCAUGGCGGCUUCAACCAUAGUAUGACUCUGUACAUGGGAUGCCGUGAAGACUGAUAACAAGUCUGGUGAUCACUGAGACUAAACUUGCUCUGAGCAAGCGUGGGAUCGAGGUAAUUGUGUCCCAAGGCCAUUGCUCAACUUAUUGGAUUGUGUUUUUCCAAUUCUCUACUCUGCUUCACAGCAUUAGAAUUCAUAUGGUACUACUUAUUAAUGAAAACAUUCAAAAGACUAACUAUGAUAUAUUGCAAGUCUAUUUUGUUUUGUCAAGCAAUUUCAAUAGAAAAAUCAUCUAACAAACACAUAAUGAAUUGGCAUAUAACAUUGCGCACCAAAAUUCAAACUAAAACCAUGUAUAGCUGACUUAUCUGUUGAAUCCCGUAAGAUUCAGACAUUAUUGCAGGAUCAGGUCAAAACCCCCACCUGUAAACAUUCUCAGAAACGAUAUCUCUAAGCCCUGUCUCACUUGCUGCCUAACACAGGAGACAUAUCCAAACGGGUCUUGCAGUGGAACUGCAGCUCGUACUGAGCUCCGAGGAUACGGUAACGCUUCAACCAAAACAGCUUGUUGCUCAGCUCGUGGCUCUGAGCUUUGAUGACAAGAAACCGUUUCUUGAACCUCAUCUCGAACUGCUCUCUGGACUUCUUGUCGACGUGAGGGGAACGAAGCACCGUGUACAAGGUCCUUGUGUCGGGCAUGGCGGCGUAGCGACUGUGAGGAGGAAGACACCAAGCUUCCUUCUCCGGGUUAUCGAAUGAACGGAUCGCAAUGCAGAUCCUCGUUCCUUUGAUCUUUGAUGUGCUUUCUCCUCCUCCUUUCUUCUAAUUUAAAACCGCAACACACAAGAAAGAAGCAACGGUUCAUAACUGUAUUAGAAUCAUCUAAGAACGAGUUUUAGAGAAGGAAAUGGUACCUUCUUGCUCAAUGGUUUGACAUUCUCCGGAGAGAUUUUGAUCUUAGCUGAAUCUCCGAUGCUGCUUUCACUCCCUGUGGCGUAACCUCGAAACGAGAUCUUCGCCGGGGAAACCAUAGAAGGCUCAGAUCUGAUGUGGAAGUCCCUCGCGCUGAUAACGAACGAUGCGGAGGAGAGAGUAGAUCCAUUCCCAACCAGAUUCAGCUUCACGGAGGCUCCGGUGGCGGCUGAAGUGAUAUUGAGUGAGAGACCCGAGUCAAAAGAGGUCAGCGCGGCGGAGAGAGCAUGCCUCGACGGCAAGGAAGAUCUGCGGAGUACUCCGAUCAUUUCAGAUUCGACGGCCACGAAGACGAGAAAUGAGACAGAGCGAGAGAGAAGAAGGAAUUUUUUAACAAAAAAACGUGUUCCCAACUAGGGUUUUAGUCAGGAUCGCCUGCGACGAGUAUACGCUUUUUCACAUGCACGCGCGACACGUUUGAUAAGUAUAUAUAUAUAUAUACAAAGGCUGUUGUUUGCCUGUCUGUUUCUAUUCUUUUAUUACCUUUGAGAGGUUGUAAUCAUGGCCAUUUUCUCAGUCAAGUUAGAAGAUGCACAAAAGUGUGUAUAAAGUUACAUAUAAUUCUACUAAAUGAUGAUGAUGACCAGAGUAGUAAAUACAUAAGGGAGAGAGAGAAAGCGAUCAAAAAGACUUGAGAACAUGCAAAAAAACUACAUCCAUGUAUCAAUUGCCCUGGAAUCUCCGGUGGGUAUUGUCUCGGAAGGUAGAUACACGUUUCGGGCUUUGAGAGAUUUCUUCUUUCUUCCUUCCUUUCCUUUUUUUCUUUCUCUCUGUUUCACUUGUGUAUGCUUCUGGUACUCGGUUUCUUGGUGAAAUAUUCUAUCAUACGGAACAUCCAACGAUCUAACAUUCCUGUUUAAGACCAUUACAUAACUAUAUUAGGCAAAUAUUUUUUUUGAAAAAUGACUAUUGAGACUAGAUAGAGAUGGGAUGGAACCUGUCAAAGCAAAGGUACCGCCUAACACAGCGCAAAGCCGUGUGAUCAAGUGGAGAAAACUACGGCGUUCUUCCUUGAUCGUCACAGUGAUUGGUGACAGGUCAUAUAAGAAGUAGACAGCUGAAAAUGAAAAAGAUCAUAGAUGCCAUCAACAAAGAGUAAUAAGAACCACUGGAAAUGAGGUUUGAUCGACUAACCUGGCCAUGUCCGGUCAAACGCGUUCAUUGGUGUGUAAUAUUCCGUUAAAGAGUACUGAUUCGUUGUCAGUAUGUCUUUUGAGAGAUAUCUAUAUUCCGUUGGAACAAUCUGCAAGCCGUACACCAGAAAGACAUCAACUAUAAAUAAUGUUCAUAUCUCAGUAUCUCACGAAAUGGAUCAUAAAGCUACUAGCCAGACCAGUAAGUGUCUUAAUGAGAGCAUACUUAAAGAUAUACAGCCAUGCAGAGAGAUGUAAGUGAAAAAAACAGUGAUGGAUUUAGAUAAAACACCUUAAUAUAGUAUUUGAAGGUUCCACUGGUGUCAUGCAGGAUUCGGUUUGUGCCAUCAAGUGGGUUGUGAAUUCCGGGGUACUUGGGCCCAAACGAUAGAUCAUGUAUCAUAUGGCUCACGUUUACGUUUUUGGACCCUCCAAAUAUCUGUUCAGAGGGUAAAAGAGAUCAGUUAGAUACUAUAGUAUGCAAAAUAGGCAAUAGGAGCAUGGAAUAUCAAAUAGUUAAAUCGGUGAAUGAGGUGCAAAAUGCAUUUACUGGCUUCCAUAUUGUCAUAUCAAUGGAAUCAAACAUCAAUAAUGGUCACAUGGUACUUAAUCAAACUAAAUUACCCAAUCUUGAGUUUAAAGUAUGUUCACUUGAUUAGUGGUUUCAGACACUUUUGCACUUAGAUGAUUUUAUAAAGAGAGAGAUAAUGAUACCAACCAUUUGAGCAACGUAGAUGUUCAGCCCGUGAACUGAAACGUGGAAGUUUCCAGCAACCCGUUGUACAUCUAGAACACCAUAAACCUGGGGGGAAACAGCCAAACAGAUCAGUCUCUGGUUUUCUAGUUUGUCUAUUGACAAAGGGAUGAGGUUCUAUACCCGACAUCCUUCUCCAUCCGCCAAUGCUUGCUUCACCUUUUUAAUCAUCGUCUCAGCAGCUUCGUCAAACCCAAGUAGAUUUAAAGCUUCCGUCUCAUUCUUGUGUUCAUCUUCAGCGAAGCACAAAAGAAACCAAAAUUGAAGUGAUUAAGUCUCUCAUAUAGUACGCCUCAACUAAACUUGUGAGAUUCUAAUAACGUAUUGAGAAAAUACACAUUCUAGCUUAGGUUUAGAAUGGUUACCGUGCUUGUGAGAUGAGUGAUCAUGCUCCUUUUCAACAAGAUCAGAUAUAUAUUCUGUGCCAAUGAUAUGACCAUGACUGUUGAGACGGAGCUGCAUAUACUCGUAGUUAGUGAGCAAUUAAAGUCUAUUAUAAACCAGUACACUAGAGAAAAAAAAAGACUUUGUGAUUUUUGCAUUAGCAUCUUGAUUCAUCUUACCUUCCAAAUGUUUGUAUCAAGAUCAACUUCAUGCUUCCCUGACAUGUCGAUAGCAUCCAUGCUCAAUACUAUAAAAAAAACAAAUAAAGAUCAAAAUGAUCAAAGUUUACAACCAUUACUAUUCCAGAAGGUAUGGAGAUAAGAAGUAUGCGAUCAAUGGAUUGGAAGUUUACCAUCACAAGGCAAAGAUGGGAACGUCAUAUUUACAUGAAUGGGAAGAGUUUCUCCACGCUUUAAGUCCACUGACAUCUACAAGAAACAUACAUGAUCCAUAUUACAUUUUGAUUACAGUGGGUACAUAUAUAAAGGAGAAAACCCACUACAAGCCAAGGAACAGGUUUUGAUGGAACCAAAAGACAUACCUGAUGCACUGUAAGUGUAUUAAGAUAGUAACUCAGCUCGCUCAAGAACAACGUAGCCAUUAUAAAGAGCCCAACAAUGGAUACUACAAAUAACCAAUAAAUCUAAGAUGUUAAUAAAUAAGCAAACACACAUCAAAGGAGAAGGGAAGAAGAAGAAGAAGAAAGCAUUACCAACGGCACCAGAUUGAGUUUUCUGAAGGAGAUGAUCCUCAGCUCUUGGGAACGCAUCGAUGCUCCUCAGAGCCUGCUUCACACCCAUCCUACCAAACUACAAAACCAACAUCAGAUAACCAAACAAUGUGGCACGAAUUCAACCAUCAAAUACCUCCCCCCCCCCCCCUUUCAAUACCCAUUUCUAUCUCUUUUUUUUAAUAUAUUUAUCGAUCUAAACAAGCAGAGAGCUUCUAUAGAGGUUUUAUCUUAAAAGGGGGUCUAACUCAAAAUCAACCAAUCAGAUAUGCAGGGUAAGAUUAAAAGGGGAUGGAUUUUCGAGAAUUAAUCUCGAAACCCACAUCUAAUUAAUCCAAAUUAAGACUUCUAGUAUGAUCUUCACCGGCCCUAGAUGUGAAAGUUCUCCUCUCUCUGAAGCGGAUGAAAGAAACGUAUGCGUAGAAUGGCAAUAACAAUGGCACGAAUCUAAGAUAUUCUAAAGGGAGAUAAUUUGAAACGGAGAUGGUACCUUGAAUUGAGGCUUAUGAGGAUGAGGCGCGUGCGCGUGCGCGUGCGACGAUAGAAAGGAUUGGGGAAGAAGAGAGAGAGAGAGAGAGAUCUCCAGGUCCGGAGAGACAAAAUCGAUGUUUGAACGGCGUCGCUCUUUUUCCGUCCUCUCAAUAUUUAUUUAUUGCUCCCUUAACUUAUUACAAAUUUCAAUUUAGCAUUACUAAUCUUAUUAUUUACGAAUCAACCCCUCAUAUUCUCAGAAGAUGAUCAUUUUGGGACAGUGAAAAUGUUUUCGAUCAUAGUGUACACAUAUAAGAUGCUUUCUUUUUUUUUUGUGCUAAAUAUAAGAUGCAUUUUCUUUUUUUCUUUUUUCUUUUUUUGGUGUAAAUAAGAUGCAUAUUUUAACUACUUUAUCGCAUUUUUUUCUUGAUAGUUAGCCUGUGGUUUUCAGUCUGUUUGAUAAUUCGUUCUUAGGUAAGAUUUUUAGUUUUAAUUGUAUAGGAAGAUAACGUUAUUGUUUGUUUUGUAAUCGCUUACGAUAGAUACAUUCUUAAAUCUGAAUAUGAUUUAAUCGACUGUUGUUGCCCAUUAUCGCCAGCGCACUGUGAAAUAAGUAUGCCAUUACAAGGUUUUUGUAUAUCUUAAAAGUGGUUAAAAAACCUUAUGAAGCAUUAGUGAUCUAGUUUCCUUGGUUUAAGUCUAGACUUAAUAUAUGUGCAAGUCAUGGAAAGUGGACCAGCUUCAACCAACACUAUAAAGCAAGUAUUAAAGACAAUCAUCUGCUAACAUUAAUCAUGAUGUGCGAUUUCCACAUGGCGGGAUUUUGGUUGUUGAUGAGAGUUAGAGACUGACAAGAAAGAAAAAACAAAAACAAAUUUGAUUGGGCCGAGUUAAUAACGUCAUUUGAUUUGAGAGAUUGGGAGUUUGGGACCCAUAAGCCCAAACAUAAACUCCCCGCCAUAAACUAACACCCAAAAGGAUGCUUUGUUAUACAAAGCAACUUCACGUUUUACAUAUGACUUCCAGACAACAAAACAUAUACAUUGGUGGUAUUGCUCUAGUUGCAUUGGUCCCCAAAACAAAUAGAUUGAUGGAAUCAGUUAGGAAGUUAUGUGAUAAACAUCUUUAAAAACAAGAUCUAAACCAUAUAUUCUAACUCUUUUUUUAGACUCACUGUUAGUAGAUUGGUGGGUUUACUUUAAUUGCACUGGUUCAUCUCUAUCUAUCUUAUUAAAGUAGAAGUAUUUUAAGUUUUUAUUUGACAAUAUAGAUAGCAGUUAAAAAAAAUAGUGUUGUUUGGAAACAUGGAUAGCAGUAAGUUACGGAAAAAAGUAACUGACAUUACGAAUCAACCCCUCAUAUUCUCAGAAGAUGAUCAUUUUGGGACAGUGAAAAUGUUUUCGAUCAUAGUGUACACAUAUAAGAUGCUUUCUUUUUUUUUUGUGCUAAAUAUAAGAUGCAUUUUCUUUUUUUCUUUUUUCUUUUUUUGGUGUAAAUAAGAUGCAUAUUUUAACUACUUUAUCGCAUUUUUUUCUUGAUAGUUAGCCUGUGGUUUUCAGUCUGUUUGAUAAUUCGUUCUUAGGUAAGAUUUUUAGUUUUAAUUGUAUAGGAAGAUAACGUUAUUGUUUGUUUUGUAAUCGCUUACGAUAGAUACAUUCUUAAAUCUGAAUAUGAUUUAAUCGACUGUUGUUGCCCAUUAUCGCCAGCGCACUGUGAAAUAAGUAUGCCAUUACAAGGUUUUUGUAUAUCUUAAAAGUGGUUAAAAAACCUUAUGAAGCAUUAGUGAUCUAGUUUCCUUGGUUUAAGUCUAGACUUAAUAUAUGUGCAAGUCAUGGAAAGUGGACCAGCUUCAACCAACACUAUAAAGCAAGUAUUAAAGACAAUCAUCUGCUAACAUUAAUCAUGAUGUGCGAUUUCCACAUGGCGGGAUUUUGGUUGUUGAUGAGAGUUAGAGACUGACAAGAAAGAAAAAACAAAAACAAAUUUGAUUGGGCCGAGUUAAUAACGUCAUUUGAUUUGAGAGAUUGGGAGUUUGGGACCCAUAAGCCCAAACAUAAACUCCCCGCCAUAAACUAACACCCAAAAGGAUGCUUUGUUAUACAAAGCAACUUCACGUUUUACAUAUGACUUCCAGACAACAAAACAUAUACAUUGGUGGUAUUGCUCUAGUUGCAUUGGUCCCCAAAACAAAUAGAUUGAUGGAAUCAGUUAGGAAGUUAUGUGAUAAACAUCUUUAAAAACAAGAUCUAAACCAUAUAUUCUAACUCUUUUUUUAGACUCACUGUUAGUAGAUUGGUGGGUUUACUUUAAUUGCACUGGUUCAUCUCUAUCUAUCUUAUUAAAGUAGAAGUAUUUUAAGUUUUUAUUUGACAAUAUAGAUAGCAGUUAAAAAAAAUAGUGUUGUUUGGAAACAUGGAUAGCAGUAAGUUACGGAAAAAAGUAACUGACAUUUUUUUUUGUCAUCGACUUAUACAGAUUCAUACUGACUCUGUAAACCAAACCGGGUGAUCUGUAUCCAUGUGAACGACGAAAGACGGCUGCUUCCUAACACUGUGUGCUAUUCUAUCCGCCUUUGUAUUUUGCGUCCGUGGUACAUAGAUAAUCUCUGAUCGGGUGAAACUCUCUUUUAGAUUCUUGACAUCUUCCAAAUAAUUUGCAAAAGCUGGUCAUUCUUCUGGUUCCGAAACCAUCUUCACCAAUUGAGAACAAUCCGUUGCAAACGUGACAUGAAAUUGACGUAAAUUCCUCAUACAUACCAUUGCCCAUAGUAGCGCUUCCAUCUCUGCAUGAAGGGGAGAUAGACUAUCCCGAACAUUCAUUCCCCCCAACAAUCCAUCGAAUCCUUCUAAAGUGUUGUACCAAGCUUGUCCUGAAAAAGUAUCACCCUCUUUCCAUGAGCCAUCCACAAAACACCAUCUUCCUGGAAUUGACGGCAAGGUCGUAUCUGCUAUUUGUGGUAUUGUCCUCUGCUCCUUCAAAAUCUGUGUCUCAGCCCACAAUGUUGAUUCUGUUUCUGCCAAUUUAAGCGUAUCCAAAGGAUCAAUGUCUAGAUUAUUGAAAACUUUAGUAUUCAUAGCUUUCCAGAUAUACCAUAGUAUCCAUGCAAACUGUUGAUCUUUCAUCUGCGGAACAACUCUCUAGAACAGAUGAUCCAAAUUUGUGAAGAGAGCACUUGUCGGAAAGAUAGAUGGGUUUGAUGGUUUCUUCGAUAGCGCCCAAACCUGAAUUUCUGAAAAGUAACGGACUUAUGCUAUUAAAAAAAUUGGAAAUUCAUUACAUUUUAUUAAAAAGUAACGGGUUUAUCCUUACUUGAUAUACAUAUUCAAAUCAAAAUAAUAAUUUAAAAUUCAUUUAUAUCAUAUUCAAAAUUUGAUUUUUACUAACAUAUUUUCCAAUAACCAUUAUAAAAAUGUUUUCAAUAUAUAUAAGAAAUAUACAAUACAAAGCCCAAUUUCAAACACCAACUUAAAUUAUGGUUUUUAUAUUUCACAUUAAAAUUUAAAAAUAUAAUAUAUGUGAUUAUUUAUAUGAUUGUACGUAUAAAAUAUUAUUAAUUAUAAGAAAACUUAUUUGAUGGUAUGUAUAAAAUACGAUUAAUUAUAUGAUAACACAUAUUUUUGUAGCCAAUGAUGACACAUAUAUGAUAUAUAAUAGUGAUUAGGGGUGGGCAUUCGGGUUCGUUUUCGGGUCUGUUUGGGAUUUUGUGUUCGGUUCAGAUCUUUGAGGAUUCGGUUCAGAUUUGGAUAACCAAUUUAAAUUGGUUUGGUUUAAAUAUUUGGAUAGAUAAUUAAUAAUUAUUUAAGUAUUUUUGGAGUUUUGAAUAUAUUUUAACUAUUUUGGGGAAAUUACAUGUUUACCACUUUCAUGCUACCACUUUUCAUUUUCAACACCAAUAAAGAGACAUUUUCAAAAAUACAUUCUUUAUUAAGUGGCAAAACACUUUUAUGCUCUUGUUCUUUAUAUAUAUAUAAUAAUAAAUAUUUAAAUAAAUUUUAACUUUUUAUCGAAUUAUACUAUUUCGAAUUUCAAACCUUAAACCCUAAAACUUAACUAUAAACUCUAAACCAUCAAUCCUAAACUCUAUUUUGUUUUUAAAUACGAACCCAAAACCCUAAACCCUAAACCAUCAAUCCUAAAUCCUAUUUUUUUAAAAUACGAACCCUAAACCCUGAAACAUCAACUCUAAACCCUAAACCCCGAAACAUCAACUCUAAACCCUAAACCCUAAACCUUCAACUCUAAACCCUAAACUUCAACUAUAAACCCUAAACCAUCAACACUAAACCCUAAACUAUCAACACUAAACCCUAAACUCUAAAAAGUAAACUCUAAACCCUAAACCCUAAAAAAAUAAACCCUAAACCCUAAAACAUCAACUCUAAACCCUAAACCUUCAACUCUAAACCCUAAAUCCUAAACCCUAAAUCCUAAACCCUAAACCCUAAACCCUAAAACCUUAGAGUUGAUGUGUUAGUGUUUAGAUUUGAAGGUUUAGGGUUUUAGGGUUUAGGGUUUACGUUUAUGGUUUAGAGUUGAUGUUUUAGGGUUUAAAUUUGAAGGUUUAGGGUUUUAGGGUUUAGGAUUCGAAUUUCAUAAAAGUAUAUGGUUUAGGGUUUAUGUUUAGGGUUUAGAGUUGAUGUUUUAGGGUUUAGAUUUGAAGGUUUAGGAUUUAGAGUUUAGAGUUGAUGUUUCGGGGUUUAGGGUUUAGGGUUUGGAGUUGAUGUUUCAUGGUUUAGGGUUUAGAGUUGACGAUUUAGGGUUUAAAGUUGAUGUUUUAAGUUUAGAUUUAGGGUUUAGGGUUUACGUUUAGGGUUUAGAGUUGAUAUUUUAGGGUUUAGAUUUGAAGGUUUAGGGUUUAAGGUUUAGGGUUUAGAGUUGAUUUUUCGGGGUUUAGGGUUUAGAGUUGAUUUUUCGGGGUUUAGGGUUUAGAGUUGAUGAUUUAGGGUUUAAAGUUGAUGUUUUAAGUUUAGAUUAGUUAAUCGUUUGUUUUUUUUGUCAAAGUUAAUGAAAAGGUUAUAAAUGUCUUUUAUCUUUAAUUAAAGAUGAGGGUAAAAGUGGUUAGUGUAAACAUAAAAAGUGAUACUUUGAAAAUGCUAUUUUUGGCAAUUUCUCAUCCAUUUUAGAUAUUUACGUUUGAUUAUUUGUAUAUAUUUUCAAGUAUUUAAAUGAACUUAAAAGUAUCAUAUAUAUUCUGGAUUGUUUAAUAUAUAUUAAAUCUAAAAAUAAUUAAUAUAUAUAAGUAUAUAAAUCUAUUUUGGAUACCUAAAAUGCUUCAGUUCAGAUCAGAUUACGUUUCAGUUCUUCAAAUACCAAAAUUUUGAAUAAUGCAGAUAUUUAAUCAAUUUCGGUUCGGAUUUGAUACUACUUAUUCGGAUUGAGAUCAGUUCGAUUCUUCAAAUUCGAGUUUUUUGUCCAACCUAAAUAGUGACAAAAAAAAUUGCAUCAUAUUUUUUUUGAAAUACAUUCACGCUCGUCAAAAUCUAGUAGACAUUAAACAACUAUACUCAAGUCCAUAAAGCUUGCAAAGGAUAAAAUCAACAGCUUCGAAGAACUGUGGUUUGACAAUUGGAGCAAUUGGCAAGUCGUUGGUCUUCAGCCUAAUUUUCCUUCUUCUGAUUCCUACUUUCCAGAGUGAUAUUUUUCCUCUCUGACCUCUCCCAUCUUUUUCUGUUUCUUGUGUUUUAAUAUAUCUCCUGCAAGCUUUGUAUUUUCUUUCCUUUGUUCACCUCUGUAAACUAUUUUCUAAAUGUUUAAUUAUGAAAGCCAGUUUAAAAAAAUUCCAUAAAGAUUAUAUGUUAAUAAAUCUAGCUGAGAGUAAGCACACUGAUAAUAUAUACAGAUAAACUCUUGCUAAUUACAGCCCUCUAGUUAAUUUUUUAGGGUGAAUAAACCUUUCUGAAAUUGUAUCUCUUAGAUUAAUCAUCCUCUCUUAAUACAUAAUUAGUGUUGUGUACUUCCUCAUAAGGUCAUGCCAUAAUGUCGCGGGUCAAAUGGUCUGUGUCGUAAAAGUAGAUAAACAUCAAAACACUGGCCACAUCUUUUCACUUACAUAUUUCGAUCAAAGUCACAUUAAUUUCCCAUGCGUCCCCUUCUCAACUUAAUAAUCAUGUUCUUGUCUUCUUAUUCUUAAUUAAAAAAAUAAAAGAAAAAAGGAGAGCACGUGACUUGUGAAACGUGAACAGUUUGCAAAACUUGCAAAAUGCAUGCUUCACGUGUGUUAAUUCAUCCACUAAUGUCAACUUCUCAAUACCUACCUUUAACUUUAGUCUUGCUUUUCCCACUUCAAUCCUCACUUGCAUCCAGUUAUGACACAUUUUCUCUUAAAUUUAGUUUUCAUUUAUUUUUAGCCAUUUCGAUUAAACCAGCUCGUGUUUGAUGUGUGAACUAUGAACUACAUAUACAGAUGAAUUAUGUUAUAGAUUUUGAGUGGUACUGGUAAACUAGCUAGUGAGAUAUGGUAAUCUGAGUCCAUUAAUUAACAUAAAUUAUACAAUUUUCCAGUUAUCAAAAUAAAUAUGUGAGCGAAAAAAAGAAAUGCUUUCUGUAAUGCAAUAAAGUGAUAAAACAAAAGAAAAAGAAAAAGAAAGGAACUGAUCUUUUUUUUUUUUUUUUUUAACACCGAGAAAGGAACUGAUCACCAGCCUCUUUUAGGAAUCGACUUUCUAUUUGUGGGAAGUGUAUUAAACCAAACUUCUCCAAACUCCACAUGGUACAAACACUGCAUGUGGCCAAUAUUUCUCCAAACAUAAAAGUCAAGCUCUUAAUUUUGCCUUGAUAUUCUUUUGAAACAGUUUAUAUACUGAUAGUUCAAAAGAAUUAUUUUAAUUUGAUAAAACACAACACUGAUGCAACAUUAACGUAUAUCAGUGUAUGUGUUAUGCAUUUGCACAUAUACAUAUAUAUAUAUAUAUACUAUGCUAACUCAUAUAGUUAUAGUUGAAUAUACAUUGAACAUGUAUAUAUUGAACAACUAAACCUUAUAACAACAAAUAUAAAUAAUUUGUAGCACACAAUAUUAAUACACAGAAUUAUGUAAAUGGAGUUAUUAAUAGUAAUACAUACAAACCUGCAAACAACUAAUAUAAUUAUUAACUAGGUGAUAACCCGCGCCCUGCGCGGAGCAAGUGAACAAAAGCGAUUUUUAUUUUUUAAUUUAUCGAUAUUAAAAAAUUAAAAUUAUAGGCACAAAUAUUAGAGAACUACAUAUACAGAUGAAUUAUGUUAUAGAUUUUGAGUGGUACUGGUAAACUAGCUAGUGAGAUAUGGUAAACUGAGUCCAUUAAUUAACAUAAAUUAUACAAUUUUCCAGUUAUCAAAAUAAAUAAGUGAGGGAAAAAAAGAAAUGCUUUCUGUAAUGCAAUAAAGUGAUACAACAAAAGAAAAAUAAAAAGAAAGGAACUGAUCUUCUUCUUUUUUUUUAACACCGAGAAAGGAACUGAUCACCAGCCUCUUUUAGGAAUCGACUUUCUAUUUGUGGGAAGUGUAUUAAACCAAACUUCUAUAAACUCCACAUGGUACAAACACUGCAUGUGGCCAAUAUUUCUCCAAACAUAAAAGUCAAAGCUCUUAAUUUUGCCUUGAUAUUCUUUUGAAACAAUUUAUAUACUGAUAGUUCAAAAGAAUUAUUUUAAUUUGAUAAAACACAACACUGAUGCAACAUUAACGUAUAUCAGUGUAUGUAUUAUGCAUUUGCAUAUAUAUAUAUAGCUAACUCAUAUAGUUAUAAUUGUAUACACAUGAAACAUGUAUAUUGAACAACUAAACCUUAUAACAACAAAUAUAAAUUUAAUUUGUAGCACACAAUAUUAAUACACAGAAUUAUGUAAAUGGAGUUAUUAAUACAUACAAACCUGACGAUCAACAAAUAGAAUUAUUAAAAAAAAACAAGUAGAAUUAUUAAUUCAUUCAAUACACAAAAAUAUGUAAGAUAUAUUUCACUAACAUAACACUAGAAUUAUUAAUUCAUUAAAUACACAAAAUUAUGUAAAAUUAAUUACAAACACUAAAACAUACCACAAACGACCAAAUUACAAAGGUAUGCAUUUUUUUGUUUCAUUAAUGAAAAUGAAAGAUGAUACAGGUUGUUUAAGUCCCAAAAAAGAUGGAAAAGACUUAAGGAACAAACUAGUAGAUUUAAGUUUCGAAAACGAAUUUUAAAGCUACAAUUUUUGAUCAAAUCACCGCUAAAGCGGAUAGGAAAUCCGACGACGCCAAUCGGCACGAGCCCCACCUUGGUAAAAGGUGUGGCACGUGCCACAUACUGAUUAAUAUAAUUUUCAUGUGAAAUGCUAGGACAUAUAAAAAUAUGUAGCCCUUUUGGUCUAAAUUGAUAUACCGUGUCCCACCCAAAACUAAGUUUGAAACUAUUAAAUUGCCUUUUUAGUUUCUACUCUUCGAUACAUUUUUAAUUACUUUUUAAUAAAAUAUUUUUCUUUAUUUUUGUUACCUAAGACUAUUUUUUAUUUUCUGAGUUUUCUACGUACUUUUUUGGUGAAAGUUGUCUAGAUAGUUACUAUUUUAUAAAAUAUUUUUUUCUUCCUCGUGUUUACUUAGAAUUCUAUUUUUUCUUUUUUUCUAUAAUAUUUUUCUUUGCCUUUCUAAUACUAAAUUUCUAUAAAAACUAUAGUUUAUUCUAAUUUUAACAAUUAUUCUACUAUUUUUAAUUUUUCAAUACUUAGAUUAACAAAACUAAGAGAAAUAAAGGUUUUAACUAUUAUAUGCAGUAUAUAAUUUAUAACAUUACUUAAAAUGAAGAUUUAAAUUUGUGAAAAUUAACUAUCAAGAAUAAAAAAAAUAUUGUUUAUAUGGUUCAUUUAAAAAUAAGAUGUAAAACUCAAGUCCCUAAUGUUAAUUUUUGUAAAAAAAAAAAAUUCAGUUCCGUUAAUUAUUUAAUAAUUUAAUUUUAUUUAUUGUGCCACACAUUAGAAUUUUUUUUUGAUCCGCCCCUACUCCCGACGACGCUUCAAAACAACGAACUCUGGUCAGAGUCCCCCGAAGACGCUUUGAGCACAAACCGAAUACAAGAUCAGAGAGACUCGCUUUGGUCCUUAAGUCUUUGGUCAGAUGAAAACCUGUAAAUGAUAGAUAAAACUUGUGAAUGUUCUAAAACUUAUUUUUAAAAUUCAAGUCUUUCUUAGAACAAAAUUUACAGCUAUAGAAAGUUUGGACUUGAAUUUAGGUACAUAUAGUUUACAUGAUAGUUCAAUAAUACAUGGUUUGACUAUUCUGACGUUAAUCGGGAAGCAUUCCACUCGAAUCAAGCGAUAUGACAGUCCUAAACGUAUUCUUAUUUAAACUGAUCGAAUCAGUCCUAAACAUAUAUAUAGAUUACAAAGUUAUAACCUGUAUGUAACUCAAGAUACUUCCUCAGACACUUUGAUUGAUAUAUGCAUUCUUACCGGUUCCGCCUACUUUUUCCUUUAAAAUACCUUUUCCUUCGUGUUGAAAACAUGAAGCACGUGACCAGAUUUGCAGAUAUUUGUUAUUUUUAAUUUCCUCAAAAAAAAAUAAAAGUUUAUAGCACGUUCUUAUUCAGACUUUAUAUGCAAGUAUUUCUAUAACUUGACUUCCAUAAACUGACCAAGCAAGAAGAAUCUUUACGCAGAGAGGAUCAUAUGGAGAAUUGCAGCUUAGAUCUCUGCCUAUCUCCAGUGACCUCUUCACUUCAAUCUUGUCACCGAGAUUCCAAGUGAGUUUUUCUUGUUCAGUUCCAACUUCAUUAUAUUGCCUCCAUUUAAACCUCUCUUCUUAACUCGUUUUGCUAUGUACAGGGUUAGUCAAUCUUUAGCCACGAGAACUAAGGAGAUCAAUGCAUUCUAUAAUGGGAGAGUACGAGAAUACGAUCUCGUAGAGAUCCAGGUAGCUUCUCUAUCUGCUCUUGUACAUAUGUUGUCGAUUUAUUCUUUUUUUUUAUUAAUGAUUGAUAAAUACAUUGAUGAACAUACGAAGAUAAGGGCGGUAAUAGAGAUGGCGAGCAAGGAGCGUGACAUAACGGUGUUAGAGUUAGCACCGGUUAGACUAGAAUCGCCCUUAGUGUUUCCGGUGAAGAGAUCAGUGGAGAGGUUUUUGGAGAAGAGAAAGAAGAGAAGCAAAUAUGUUACUACACCUUACAGUUACACUUGCAGCUCCACGUCUUCCUCCUCUUCGCAUCAUUUCUAAAACCCCACUUAUUUUUGUCAUUUUUCCGUAUACUCAACGGUGAACUUCGAGUUUUUUUUUCAAUCUUGUUUUUAAAUCAAGAUGUUUCAUUUGUAUAAAACUCGGAUCAUUUGGAUCGCUUGUAUUAGUUGUGUUCUCCUCAUCUAUAAUAGCAUAUCAUUUAGUAAAAUACGAAAAAUGCACACUUUAACAAACAAAUAUAGAGAAACAUUUAAAAAGUUAUAACCUUUUGUUCGUAUUAAUUAAAAAAGUGCUCUGCUGAUUUGUCACGUAAUUAGAAUGCUAAUUUUAUUUACGUGGCAGUUUGAGAAUCAAAUGAGAACUAGAUUUUGACCCGUGCUUAGAAAACGCAGACUUGUUUGUUUUUCAUUUAUUGAUCGAAAACUGAUUUACAAACUACCAUUAUUUUUGUUUUGAACCAUAACAAUUGAGUUUUUAGGUUUUUAUCAUUUGUUUUUUUUUUCUUUUCAAAAUAUGGUAUUUUUUCGAAAUAUGGUAGUUGUUCUAAUAAAGUUUGAGUUUUAAGAUUUGUUUCAUAUUCGACCUAGAUUCAUGGUUGAACCUAUAGAUCCGAUACAUCGUAUAUAAUCCGGUUCAGAUUUAAUUAAAAAUCCGAUAUACCCCGGUAAAAACCAAAAAACUCACUAUUAACCUGCGAUCUGAUACCAUUGAUCCGAAAAAACAUAAAAUAUCUGAUAGUGUUUUUUAGAAAAAAUUGAUUAAAUGACUCAUAUUUCUUUUAAUAUUACAUAAAUUAGUGAUUCCUUAGAAUUUGAUGAAAUUUUAUUAUGUCAUCCAAAUAAAAAAAUGAUAAUAUAAGAAAACUUAUUGAUAUGACAACAUUAGUUUAUUUUCGUUAUUAAUAACCUAUUAUAAGUUUAUGUUUUUAUUUUAGAUUUAAAAUUUUAUUUUAAGAUAGUUUUUAAAAUAUUAUUGAACACUCGUAAUUGCCAUAUCAAUAUUAUGUAUAAAAUGACAUUAUACAUGAAAAAAAUGAUAUUCAAAUAUGUAUAUGAUAUAUGAUUUAGGAUAAAAUGAAUUUUAUUAAUCCCCUAUAAAAAUAAGGGUAUUUUUGAGAAAAUUGUAAUUUUUCAUUAAGGGUAAAAUUUGGGAAUGAUCUUCUUUUAAUAGUAUUGAUUUUUUUAGUCAAAAACUAAAUUGCUAGGAAAUGUUAUAUUAUAUAGUAUGUCCAUUAUAGACCAUUCAUUUAUCAAAUUGAAAUUAUUAUAUAUUAUUUCCUUGAAUAAAACCAACGAAAUUACCUUGUGAUUAAGAUAUAUAUGACGAUUAAUGAUUUUAAAUAAUAAAGAUUUGCUAACAAUUUGUAUACUUUCUAUCAUUUUUGUUUAAUUAUUUAUUAUUAAAAUAAAUUACAUAAUUACAUUAAUCAUAUAAUAAAAUUUUAGAUUUUUUUUUUGUAUAAAUUGUAUUUUAAAAAAUUUCAAAACGAGUAUAAAUUACUAAAACUGUUGAAAGUCUCACAUAAACUUUUGUGAUCAAGGUUUAAAUUUUUUCUAUAAUAAGAUACAAUGAUUAUAAAAUCAUAUGAAUAAAUAAUUUUAUUUUAAUAGGUGUCGAUGUUAAUAUAUAUAUAUAUAUAUCAUAUCGUUUAAAUUAAACUAUACAUCAUAUGAAAAUACAUACUUAUAUUUUGAUAUCUUUGUUGAACAUAUAUACAAAUGUUAAUAUUUUAAUUUUGAAAUCUUCAUUAUUUUUUUAAAAUGAUUAUAAAUUAUUGAAACCACUAAACAUUCCACAUUAAAAAAAAUCAUUGGUGUAAAAUUUUGCUACACAAAUAUAAAAAUAAUCAUAAAAUCAUAUGAGUAAAAACCUCAUUUAAUAAAUAUUCAUAUUAAAAGUAUAAUAUAUAUCUAUGUUAAUAUCAUUUAAAUUUAAUCAUAUAUCAUAUACGAUAGAUAAGAUUGUUUGUUUUGAUUUAUUUACCGUAAAAUGAUUGCGGAUAAACAAGAGCGGUCGUUUGAUUUAUAUGCGUAUACCGAUUUAUUACAUAAUAGUAACUGAUUUUUUAGUUAUUUAAUAUAUAAUUAUUAUUUUAUUAUUUCAUAAUAUGCAGAAAAACAUAAAAUAAACAAUAAAUAUAAAAUAUUUAUUCUGCUCAUGGUCCGGAUCUCAACCUAAGUAUUUAUCUUUUUAAUAAUUUUAAAUUUUAAAUCUUAAACAUUUUCUAAAUCUCAGGCCAAAACAAAAUAACGAAAUGAGAAUAAACUCAAAAAUCAAUAUUUAUAUCAAGCAAUAACCAAAAUGAAAAAAACGACACAAAAACGAGAAAAAUAUUGAAGAUAUAUAGGAUUGGCACGUGAACGUAAACUUGUCAUAACUAUAAUUAACUUUUAAAUUGCUAAAUCAUGAUAUCAAAUCGAGCUGCUAUAAUUUCAUUGUAACUAAAUAGUAGACCUGAGAAUUUCCGGCCUAAACGUUAGGUUCUUAUGCGAUAAGUGAUUUUUUGACCAAAAAUAUUUAUAAAAAUGGGAUCAGCUCAUGAGUAAACAAAUUAUUUAAUUAACUAUAAAAAUUUUAAAGGCCAAAAAUAUUUAUUCGAUCAAGGAUAUAAAUUUUAUUUAUCCAUACGAUAUUUCUUAAAUAAUUUUCAUAUAAAUUCACUCUGCGCAAGGCGCAUGUCUCAUCCUAGUCUACAUUAUAAUGAUGCACUUUGUUCACUCUUCAGGACGUCACGUCAGCGUUUUGUGGACCUCACUUUUAAAAACUAUGUAAAAAUAUCAUGUCCAUGGCUCGAACCCGGGUUACUGAGAUAUAAACACCAACAUUUAUACCACUAAACUAAAGGAUACUUUGGACAUUGAUGACCGAAACUAAUAUAUAUUUAUGAAGGUCGGAAGCCCUUGCUUCUCUGGCUUCCUCUGAGGGUCGGGCCUACAAGUGUAUUAUGGAUUUUAUUUUUAAGUGGGAUUCUUCAUGUUAUAUGAAAAAAGCUCAAGUUUGCAACAAUUAUAGUUUUCUCAUAUUAUAAACUGUCGUUGUUUAACAUGAGUUAGAGUUCUUUUCAUCAUUGUCUCAGACAAGUCUGAGUUACAAAGUUGCGCCGUGUGUCUGUUCGUAAUCUAUUUUUUCACCGGUGAACUCUUCAUCUCCCCCAUCUUAAAUUGAUUGAUCAUAAAUGUUCCUGAUUUCUAUCCCCUCUGUAAACCCUAUAUAUAUGAUUCUCAUUGUUGAUGAACCCAAUCUGCAUCUCGACAAAACUCAUUGAUUCCUCUUAGCUUUAACCAUCUUCUAGAAAAUGCCUCUCUCUGUCUCUCCAGUUCCUCAAACCGAUGUCUCCGGCGUUCGUCACUCAACCUUCGAGUCUCUCCGUCUUGGUCGUAGUAGUCAGAGCAUAGCCUCUGGCCUCCUCCGCUUCUGAGAUUCCCUGAACUUCAAGAAAGACGUGGAGUUUAUGGGAAUCACGGUUCUCUUCCUUGAUGAAAAAGUAAGUUAAUUUUCGAUCUAUCACACUUAUUUAACAUAAUUGUUUUUAAUUGAUUUUCUGAUUUUUUGUUGAAUAAUAUUAUUUGCAGAUUCCGUGAUUCAUGAGUUUAUUACCGUCGGACCUGCUAAUCAUUACAUGUCAUCUUUGAAAGCCGGUUCCAUUGUGAAAGUCGAUUGUUUUGAGGUUGCUAGGUGCUCAAGCAUGUACAAGAUAACUGAUCAUCCAUUCGUCAUUCGUUUCAUCUCACCAACCAUUAUUGAUGAAGUCAUCACAAGUGCUCUUGAGAUCAAUCUCUAGUCAUGAUUAGAUUGUUCGACAAUCUCCAAGUGAUUGCGAACACAAACCUAAAAUUUCCAGGUAUAUUAUCAUAUUGCAUAUGGGUUUAUAUUAUGUUUCGAAAUCAUAACUGAUAUUUCAACUCGUAGAUGUGGUUGAGCAAAUCCGUUUUUUUCAGGGCUCUGACCUCACCAAAGAAACAACUCGAGUCGUUAUCCAUCUCCUCAUUGAUCCGUAAGAAACAAUUAACACACAAUUCCCUUUAUAUUACUGUCUAUAUUGUGCUAACAUCAAUAAUCAAAAAUAUUUCCUACCCAAUAUAUGUGGUCGUCUAUUUAUCUCCUUUACUUAUCAAACUAAUUUUACACAAACCUUUAUUUUACAGCUUAAAAGAAACCACAACAACCCAAACAAUCAAAACACCAAAAACUAGAAUCCAAAAAAACGAAUCAUUAAUGAUCACCUCUCUUUUUGUCUAAUCUUACAAAUAAACUUCAAAACAAAUAUACCAAACCAAUCACCUCAACUAAAACUUAACGACACAUACAUCGAGUCAGCUAAACAAAUACAAACUACACGGCCAACUAUUUAACAAUUUACAAACUUUCUUUCGCAGAUGCUUACGAAGAAGACGAAGACGACAAUCAAGAUCAGUGAAAUUACCUAAACGAAAAAGCAGAGUAAGUAAUGAACUAUGAUAAAUACAACUAACAAUGAUUUUUUUUUACAUAUUACCCAUCAAAUAAAAGAGAAACAAACACAACCACACCAUGAGAUACAAGAGACAAUCCCGACAGACACAAAGGCGGCAACAACAUCUCCACCUGCUCACUCCUCUUGUCUUAUGAAAAUAGCUUACAUGCCCAAUGUCAACAAGCCAAUGCUAUUUUCUUCUUAUGAAAAAUACAUAUAUUCGUUUAAAACCCAUUAAGGCCCAAAUACUCAGAAUUAUCACUCAUUUUAUAGUUAUUUCUACAAGUCUUCAUGUAUUUGUUUUAAAGGUUCGGUAAAAGCAACAAGUUUAAAAAUAAAUACAUAUAACAAACAUAAUAAGAAUAAUACAAAUUAUUACUUAAUACACACAACUUACACAACUAAACUGGAGAAAAAAAUUCGAGAAAAAUAUCCAACAACCUUAAUAUAAUCUAUGUACUCUCAACAAUACAAAAAACAAAUUAAAAAAACAAACAAACAAUAAAUCUCAGUGACACAGCAAGCAACACCACAAACUAUAUCAAUCACAUUACUAACACAGUUUAAUCCUUCAUAAGUGGAGAACAAUGCAUACAUAGUUAAUUAUCACAACUCUAACCCUAUAACAAUAAAAAACUUGAAAAACAAUGAUCAACCCAAAAAGCAAAAUUCACGACUACAAUAACCUUAACAAAUAUUAAGAUGAAACAAAAAUUAUGUCCACAAACUCCGCUCUUGCGCUUAUUAAUGAGAGAAUGCAAAAAUGAAGCUAGGCGGAUACACCAACGAGUAGCACAGCACUAACAGAGUAUAUAACUAGCAUAGGAACUUGUAGAUUACACGUCGUUCAACGAGUAGCCCAGCACUAACAGAGUAUAUAACUAGCAUAGUGAUCUUGUAGAUUACACGUCGUUCACCAUCUGCGCUUAGUCAUUCACCAUUACAAAAACUUUGUCUUAUUGCAUCAGUAUAAGAAACGAGAAAGUCAAUUCCAAUAAUAAGAUAGAUACUUUCAAGAUUCUGUAUGUACCAAACAAUACUUGGUAAAACCAAAGAAAAAUACUAAACCAGCUCUACAUAAAGUGUACACUCAACUCUCAUCACAAAAAAAAGUAAAAGAGGAGCCCAUAAAACGAAAUUUUGUAACAACCAAGCGAGAGAGGCAACAAUAUAAGUAAGAAAGAAAGAGAUAGAUCCAAGAGUUUUCAAAAGAGGGUUUUGUGGGAAACAUGUCAGAAUAACAAACUUCUAACUCCUUUUCCCAGAGCAGCUCUGCUUCCACAUCCUACAACCUGUUAAUCCAAGAGAUGGCUAGCGCCUAAUCCUGCUCUAGCUCCAAUCUCACCGGAUAAAGGGGUUCAUCAUCAUUCUACACACAAGCACUAAUAUCAUUCCCCAAACUUCCAAAUUACCCUAACAAUAUGGAGUUUUCAACAUAAAGAGAGCAACAACAUAUAGCUCCCUACUCCAUGUUUCACAUUCUUUCCCAUCAUCUUUAAUACACAAACCAAGCAGAGUUUGCAUUUGUCAACCAUAUAAUAACAAUAAAAAGAGUUCAAAGUUAAAAAAAAAAAAAAAAGAGAGAUCAGAAUCUAAAAGCACUUUUUUACACAAACCUUUAUUUUACAGCUUAAAAGAAACCACAACAACCCAAACAAUCAAAACACCAAAAACUAGAAUCCAAAAAAACGAAUCAUUAAUGAUCACCUCUCUUUUUGUCUAAUCUUACAAAUAAACUUCAAAACAAAUAUACCAAACCAAUCACCUCAACUAAAACUUAACGACACAUACAUCGAGUCAGCUAAACAAAUACAAACUACACGGCCAACUAUUUAACAAUUUACAAACUUUCUUUCGCAGAUGCUUACGAAGAAGACGAAGACGACAAUCAAGAUCAGUGAAAUUACCUAAACGAAAAAGCAGAGUAAGUAAUGAACUAUGAUAAAUACAACUAACAAUGAUUUUUUUUUACAUAUUACCCAUCAAAUAAAAGAGAAACAAACACAACCACACCAUGAGAUACAAGAGACAAUCCCGACAGACACAAAGGCGGCAACAACAUCUCCACCUGCUCACUCCUCUUGUCUUAUGAAAAUAGCUUACAUGCCCAAUGUCAACAAGCCAAUGCUAUUUUCUUCUUAUGAAAAAUACAUAUAUUCGUUUAAAACCCAUUAAGGCCCAAAUACUCAGAAUUAUCACUCAUUUUAUAGUUAUUUCUACAAGUCUUCAUGUAUUUGUUUUAAAGGUUCGGUAAAAGCAACAAGUUUAAAAAUAAAUACAUAUAACAAACAUAAUAAGAAUAAUACAAAUUAUUACUUAAUACACACAACUUACACAACUAAACUGGAGAAAAAAAUUCGAGAAAAAUAUCCAACAACCUUAAUAUAAUCUAUGUACUCUCAACAAUACAAAAAACAAAUUAAAAAAACAAACAAACAAUAAAUCUCAGUGACACAGCAAGCAACACCACAAACUAUAUCAAUCACAUUACUAACACAGUUUAAUCCUUCAUAAGUGGAGAACAAUGCAUACAUAGUUAGAAGAAGACGAAGACGACAAUCAAGAUCAGUGAAAUUACCUAAACGAAAAAGCAGAGUAAGUAAUGAACUAUGAUAAAUACAACUAACAAUGAUUUUUUUUUACAUAUUACCCAUCAAAUAAAAGAGAAACAAACACAACCACACCAUGAGAUACAAGAGACAAUCCCGACAGACACAAAGGCGGCAACAACAUCUCCACCUGCUCACUCCUCUUGUCUUAUGAAAAUAGCUUACAUGCCCAAUGUCAACAAGCCAAUGCUAUUUUCUUCUUAUGAAAAAUACAUAUAUUCGUUUAAAACCCAUUAAGGCCCAAAUACUCAGAAUUAUCACUCAUUUUAUAGUUAUUUCUACAAGUCUUCAUGUAUUUGUUUUAAAGGUUCGGUAAAAGCAACAAGUUUAAAAAUAAAUACAUAUAACAAACAUAAUAAGAAUAAUACAAAUUAUUACUUAAUACACACAACUUACACAACUAAACUGGAGAAAAAAAUUCGAGAAAAAUAUCCAACAACCUUAAUAUAAUCUAUGUACUCUCAACAAUACAAAAAACAAAUUAAAAAAACAAACAAACAAUAAAUCUCAGUGACACAGCAAGCAACACCACAAACUAUAUCAAUCACAUUACUAACACAGUUUAAUCCUUCAUAAGUGGAGAACAAUGCAUACAUAGUUAAUUAUCACAACUCUAACCCUAUAACAAUAAAAAACUUGAAAAACAAUGAUCAACCCAAAAAGCAAAAUUCACGACUACAAUAACCUUAACAAAUAUUAAGAUGAAACAAAAAUUAUGUCCACAAACUCCGCUCUUGCGCUUAUUAAUGAGAGAAUGCAAAAAUGAAGCUAGGCGGAUACACCAACGAGUAGCACAGCACUAACAGAGUAUAUAACUAGCAUAGGAACUUGUAGAUUACACGUCGUUCAACGAGUAGCCCAGCACUAACAGAGUAUAUAACUAGCAUAGUGAUCUUGUAGAUUACACGUCGUUCACCAUCUGCGCUUAGUCAUUCACCAUUACAAAAACUUUGUCUUAUUGCAUCAGUAUAAGAAACGAGAAAGUCAAUUCCAAUAAUAAGAUAGAUACUUUCAAGAUUCUGUAUGUACCAAACAAUACUUGGUAAAACCAAAGAAAAAUACUAAACCAGCUCUACAUAAAGUGUACACUCAACUCUCAUCACAAAAAAAAGUAAAAGAGGAGCCCAUAAAACGAAAUUUUGUAACAACCAAGCGAGAGAGGCAACAAUAUAAGUAAGAAAGAAAGAGAUAGAUCCAAGAGUUUUCAAAAGAGGGUUUUGUGGGAAACAUGUCAGAAUAACAAACUUCUAACUCCUUUUCCCAGAGCAGCUCUGCUUCCACAUCCUACAACCUGUUAAUCCAAGAGAUGGCUAGCGCCUAAUCCUGCUCUAGCUCCAAUCUCACCGGAUAAAGGGGUUCAUCAUCAUUCUACACACAAGCACUAAUAUCAUUCCCCAAACUUCCAAAUUACCCUAACAAUAUGGAGUUUUCAACAUAAAGAGAGCAACAACAUAUAGCUCCCUACUCCAUGUUUCACAUUCUUUCCCAUCAUCUUUAAUACACAAACCAAGCAGAGUUUGCAUUUGUCAACCAUAUAAUAACAAUAAAAAGAGUUCAAAGUUAAAAAAAAAAAAAAAAGAGAGAUCAGAAUCUAAAAGCACUUGUCACCACCUGGAACCCUUGUGAAAAAAGAUUCCUACACCUCCGCCAAGUUACUUACAAGUUUGGCUCCCGAGUCCACCACACACAUCCCUUCACUGUUUCACACUUCUCUCUCUCUCCCUCUCUCUCCCCUUAUGAUCAACCCAUCACAGAUUCAGAGUUGAUCUGACCACCCCUUGCAUGCGACGCAGACUCACUAACGGCCGACGGUUUACGACCAAAGUUUAACAAAUAGUUCCUCUGGUCGUCAUUGGUAUGACGGAGGCUCGCACGUAAAAGCUCAGCGGGCAUUUCUCUCUUUAUCGCCAGCUCCAAAACAUCCGCUGCACUCCCUUGGUUCUGCCUACGGAUCGUCUCAUACUUGCUCCUGCAGUAUUUAGUAAGCAGGUUGAAGAACUCAUUAAACGAGGCUCUCCAUAGGCCAUCAUUAGAGCUCCCAUGGACGGCUCGAGGAACCACCACUACUUCAGCAGCUCUCUCGAGAAGUGAUAUCAAGACAACCGAAGCACCAUCCCCAGAAGAGCUUCCAAUAGGACGCAGAGGUGGCUGCUCUGAAGAACAAACCACAGCUGCAAGGCAAGCACUCAGCGCUCGGAGGUCCAUAGCUUGAACACAGACCGUGACUGCCUUGGCAAGAUUAGCAAUCGUCUCUGCUGCUAGAGUAUCCGAAGGCAAGCCGCCGAAGAGAAACCUCAAGUGGCGGAAUAUAGCCAUACAGACAACUCGAGCAAUCUCAGUGCCUGGAACUAGAAGCUGUAUGUACUUCGUAAGCAUUUUCCGACCCUUUGGAAGAGUUGCUAUACGCAGAAACACAACAUCAUCCUUAGCAGUCAGCCCUGACUUCUGACCGGUUUUGCUGAACGGAUCAGCAAGCUGAAGUGCCGUCGCUAGACCUUCAAGGAGGAUCUGGCGUUUUCUCUUCACCUGAGCGCCUCCGUCUUGAGGCCUUGUGGACUGGAGAGUCCUGUCAAUGUCAACUAUGUCGAUAAGAACUCCUAGAGCAUCUUCAAUUGUAACCCUAGCUGCCACAAGUGGUUCCUGCUCCAAAUGUUUCCCUGAGCCCUUUUGAUCAUUAGAACCAGGAGAAGAAGAAGAGUCAACCUCAAGCAAGGCACGUGGCCUGCGAAUAUAGGGAAGCGUGAUCUUCCCAAGAGCAUCUACAUGAACUUGUUGUUGAUGCUGUUCAGAACUAUUAUUACGGGACUUAGGUUGGUGGUGGUGGUCUUUCAACUGAGAAGGGUAGAAGAGAGUGAUUGCUCUACUAGAUCCAGAAGACUUCUUGGCAAGGCGAGCUUGGUGGUAAUAAUCAUUGACAUAAGGAUCGUUGCUGUGUGAAUUAGAGUGCUGCAUCUUGAGUAUACUCUCUAUUUCCUCUGAAGUCAUGUACUUUGAUCUAAACUGCAAUCCACUCUCGCUUUUCUGACUAGCUGCGUCUGAUGCCUGUUGAGAUAUGCCUUUGUUCUUUCGACUCCUAUGAGAAGACUUAUGCUUGUGUUGUUCCCUAACUUCACCACCCCCAAAAGAGACUUUACGUGAUGGUGAUGGAUAAGACCUGUACAGCUGAGACUGUAGCGCUGCAAGCUGAGCAUACGAUUGUCUCUGCUGGAGAGCCAUCAUAUGUUGCGACAUAAGAUCAAUUCGAGGAGGGAAUUGUUGUUGUUGCGCCAGACUAUGUAAUAAACCAGAAUGAUCUCCGUGGAGAAGACCAGGAUCAGUGACCCAAUGAGGUUGCACAACGUUACCAAGGGUAGGACCACACGAGGCAUAUCUAGCCAAAUUACCACCAUAGUGAGGCCCGUGUGAGGGUCCUGAAAGAUGAAAUCUAGAGUUUGACAGCGGGGAAGGUGGGGUGAAAUUCAUCUGAGAACCGCUGGGAAGAGAAGGAGCGCGGUGGAGGCUUCCAGGUGAAGUCUGCUGAGAUCUGCUGCCUGGCGGGGGAAAGGAGGUGAAAGUUGAUUCUGGUACAAUGAUCGGUUCACUAUUGUAGUGUUGCAACGGUGGUGGCUGCUGAGGGUAAGAGGAUGUCCUGUAUAAAGGUUGUGAAUGAGCAGAUGACUGUGGCUGCGAGGACCAUCUGUUAGCCUCUUGAUCUUGCUCGUCCAACCAGUUUGUGAGCUCUGUAUCGUGAGUCCAAUCGGUGGCAGAAGAACCUAAAGAUGAAGUACAUUCAGGUUAAGAAGAACCCUAAAGGUAUACAGUAUACAGUAGUAAGCAAGUUAAGAAUUAAACUCACUCUCUCUUGAAAAGGAACCAGAUCCUCUGUCACCAAUAACUCCAAGGUGUUUGGGUCCUGUGACAUUUCUAUUUAGCUACACAAAGAAAAUAAGUAGAUUUAGAAUCACUAACAAACAAGAGUUCAAAGCUGAAGAACAAGAACAGGUAUAACAUGGCAGUUAAAGAUAUUAAGAUCACUAAAAAAGCAGUUUUUGCAACAAAAAAGAAGUUAAAAAAACCUUUGCAAAAGUCGUGGCAAGAUCAUCCAUGUCAGAUAAUGACCCUAAACCUGCACCCUGCAAUAAUCAACAUGUAUGUAUUAGUAAAACAUCAUCACGUGGUAGCUUUCAGAAGAGAAAACACAUUACCUCUCCUUUAUUAAACAAGUGAUACUCGUCAUCAUCAGGAGAAGUAUGUCCAAGAACAGGAGCGACCACUUCGUCAUCGUCAAUGCCUCCUAAUGACAUUUCGUCAAGGUUUUGCCCAAAAAACUCAUACUGAGAUGCAUCAAAGAGCUUACUAUUUGAAUCUGCAGAUACAAAACACAGCCAGUUUCAGCAGACAAUGCCACAAACACAUGGACUUAAAGCUCUAAGACUUUCAAUCAAAGGGAUAACAACAACAAAAGCAAAACUCAAAAAAAAAAAAAAAAGAGAGAAGCUUUUUAGUAUUCAAAAAGGUUUGAUCAUUCAUGAAAUUGGAGAACAAGAAGAACAACUACACAAAAAAAAAAAAAACAAAACCCAUACAGACAUAAUCUACAGGAAAACACAAGACCAGACAGAAGACAAUUAGCAUAAAUUUCAUCCCUUUAUGUGCUUUUCUCACUCGUAAAACGAACCACAAAGCAACACGGAUCUCAGCUAACAACACAAAGAGAAGAAAGAAACAUCCUUUCGAUGAGAUAAAAAGGGAGUGACCUGAGGAAGAGCGAACAAAGUUGUACAAGUCCCUGGAAUCAGAUCUCUCCAUGAUCGGAGGAUAAAAAGAGCGAAACUUUAGAAAUUAGAGGAUGCGAGAGAAGGAAGAGAAGUCGUAUUCCUUCGCGCUAGGGUUUUCCCAGAUGGGGACGCGGAGAGAGAGAGAAUGAUCAACCCAUCACAGAUUCAGAGUUGAUCUGACCACCCCUUGCAUGCGACGCAGACUCACUAACGGCCGACGGUUUACGACCAAAGUUUAACAAAUAGUUCCUCUGGUCGUCAUUGGUAUGACGGAGGCUCGCACGUAAAAGCUCAGCGGGCAUUUCUCUCUUUAUCGCCAGCUCCAAAACAUCCGCUGCACUCCCUUGGUUCUGCCUACGGAUCGUCUCAUACUUGCUCCUGCAGUAUUUAGUAAGCAGGUUGAAGAACUCAUUAAACGAGGCUCUCCAUAGGCCAUCAUUAGAGCUCCCAUGGACGGCUCGAGGAACCACCACUACUUCAGCAGCUCUCUCGAGAAGUGAUAUCAAGACAACCGAAGCACCAUCCCCAGAAGAGCUUCCAAUAGGA
Molecule: long non-coding RNA, 60736 nt
Filed under: Brassica napus (rape)
Lineage: Eukaryota; Viridiplantae; Streptophyta; Magnoliopsida; Brassicales; Brassicaceae
Description: long non-coding RNA (BNAP_LNC017660)
Source: RNAcentral